Molecule: long non-coding RNA, 60867 nt
Filed under: Triticum aestivum (bread wheat)
Lineage: Eukaryota; Viridiplantae; Streptophyta; Magnoliopsida; Poales; Poaceae
Description: long non-coding RNA (TAES_LNC022707)
Source: RNAcentral
AACUAGUAGAGGUUUUUCUUUAUUUAUAACUCUCCUGACAUUUUUUUUGGCUUUGCAGUGAAUCAUGGUUGUGGACAUUAUGUAUGAAUGUGCAGAUAUCUGUGAACAUGAGUUUGAUGUGGAAGUUGGACUUGGAAUGUCGGGCUUGCGCGUGAACUAUACCAUGUCCAAUGCUUCGUCUGUUAUUGUUUGGAAAGUAAUUGGUGUUAUUACAUGACCCGAAAAAACAUUUUGUGCCACAUCACUAGAUGCACAGACAUCACAACAGGCAUGCUGACUGGAUAAACAUUUGAACCUAGCUAUUAUGAAGGAAAUUUUGUAUUGACAACAGUUUUAGAUAGCAGGAGACGCCUAGCCUGCUCUGCCUCUGCUAGCUUAUUUCUGGCUUCUUCCAUCUCUUCUUUGGCUUGGGUGAAGAGAGCAUCUGAUUGCUCUUUUCGCUUCUUCAGGAACUCAGCUACAUUCUCAAGGGCUGUUGCACGCUUUCUUUCAGCCUUUACUAAUGCCACGAGGACACGAACAGCUGACGACUCCACCUGGCUUGUGUGUAAUCCAGCAUCAUCUUGGAAUUUGCACCUUGUGUCUAAUCCAGCAUCAUUAGGGAACUGGCACCUUGUGUGUAAUCCAGCCUCAUUUUGGAAACAUGAUCUCGAGGUUGACCAUACUUCCCUCCUCGCAGGAACUGCAUCCUGACAUGAAGUUACUUCUUUUUUAGAUCAAUUUAGUAGAAGCCAGAUAAACAGAACUCGGAGAAGUGAAUUCAAAAGGAAAAGAAAUAUAAAAACAGACUACACCGUGAGAACACCCACUUCCUGCAUCAAGUUAAAAACGAAAGCAUUAGGACGAUUAAGACUCUUCUUAUUACACAUCGAAGAACACCACGCUUAAGAGAAACAGAAACUACGACAUAUACACAUCGAAGAACACGAGGCUAAACGAAAGUAAUUGAAAGGGUGUUACUUACCAAAGCUCGUUUUACAGGUUCAGUGCAGCUCCUCUUUAACUUGCCACGCUCCUUGAAGAUGUCUCGAAUAUCCCGUGUUUGGUCUUCAUUGCUCCUCUGCAUGUUCACACUCGUGGUUUCAAAAUCUCAACAUGGCAAGAAAAAUACUACUAGUAAUACUCGCGCAUCUUGUGGGCAACAUUAAAGCACUCGUCUGCCAUGUUAGAGCAUCUCCAACAGAAUCGCAACGCGCGGCGCUUGAAAAAAGCGUUUACAGUGUUGAGAUCGAGAAGUAGAUAAUAGAGAGUAGAGGAUAGUUCUCAGCAUAGAUAGAUACAAAAAAGAUAAUUCAACUACUCCUCGUCGUCCGACUGCUCCUCGGUGAUGUCCUCCUCCGACGUCUGACUGUAGGCGUGAAGAUACCGAUCGUCGUCGGAUUCCCAGGGAGACGCUGCUCCUAGCCUCAUGUUGAAUUGAGCGUCCGCUUUUCGCCUACGCUUGUCCUCGUGAUAGGCGGCACGCUCCGCCCUUCUCUUAUCCCUCUCCGCCCUCCUUUGCGCGUAGAACUUGCGCUCGUUGAUGAUGUCCUACGGGAAGUGUUGGCACCACAGUGCAAUGGCUUCCUCGUCCAUCUCGGCGAUGCCGAGGCGGUGCUCCCGCCUCCGGUUGUCGCGACGAUCCUCGUCGGUGCUAAGCCACGGCAGAGGCGCGAGCUCCUGCGCCUGCUCCCGCGUCGGCACGUUUGGGAAGUUCAAUGUUCUAUGAGGCCACCGGAGGCGCCACGCCUCCGCGUUGUACGCGCGUGUGGCCUCGGUGGCGGUGUCGAAAUUGCCGAGGCCGAGGCGCAUCCGCGGAACUGGAUCUCGGCGGAGAAGCCACCGGAGGGGCGCGCGCGGACGCCGCGGUAUCCCCAAGUUUCUCGGCGACGCGGCGGCGGCGAGGCGAAAAAGAGCAGGGAGAGAGCGGUGGCGAGGCACAGAGCGGUGGCAAGGCACAGAGCGGUGGGAGGGUGUUGGAUUUUAUAAAGCGUGCCGGACGCCGCGCGCCAAAACUAGCGCACGCCCGGCCGCUUUUUCCCGCGCGCGUGCAAUCCUUUCCCGACGUCUCUGCUAUCUCUACUCUCUUCUCUACGGUUAUAUUUAUUUUAUAUUUAAUAUUUAAUAUUUAUCUCUACUUCCUUUACUGUCUACUUUUUUUCUCUAUACUUUUUUUUCUUGCAAUAUAGGCCGUCCGAUUUAUAUGUGACAGAUAGGAAGGAAACAAAUGGGAAUUUUGCAAAAAGAUACCCAUACCCCUCUCCAGAUUUGCAAAUAAGGCCUUCCCUCGUUCAUCCUUUUCUCCCACAAGAUAAACUACUCAUACAAAUGCAUCUUGAUGCGUGCAACGCAUGGGCAUCUUGCUAGUUCUAAAAACCUUUCCAUCAUUUGCCACACUGCUGGUUACAGAUGAAAAACCUACCCAAGCACAGCGCGAUACAGGAGCGACGCACAAUUACAAGCUGAUAUUCUGUUGGACAAUGGAGGCUAUAACCAAUUACUUUUACGGGAACAAUAGCACCCAGGAAAAUUGAAGGGUAGGUAUGAACAAAAUUGGAACUGCACAACUACUACUAAGUGAUUCAAUACACACAUUACCAAUCGAGGAGGAGAACGAUGGUCGCGGCGGCCUCUGUGAGUCAUGGUCGGCAACAGGAGUCAAUUCAUUGUCCACGAUGGUGGUACUUCUGCGCUUGGCGUCGGCUUCCGGGAAGCAGAUCCGAGACCGUGGAAGACGAUGUCGGGGAAGAGGCUCCGUCUACGAUGACGAUGGCGGACCGGCUCCAGUGCGGCGUACGAGGUCGUCGAUGAGGCAGAUGCGCUGCGGUGGACGAGUGCGCCGAUGUAAAGGGGAGGAGCACGAAGGCUGCGGUGCCGUGGAGAAGUCUUUUUUGCGGUGGGGAUAGAAAAUGGAGAGUAUUCAGGUGUACUACUCUGGGUGUCGGGGUGGGGCUGGCUGGGUAGGGUGAACCUGAAGUUACGAAAACAGCCCCCUACCAAGCGUCGUACGUAGGCCUGUUCCGAAGGCUAUGAUAGUAACUUCCCACUUCUCGAAUCAGGGUCGUGGGAGAUUUUUCGCCGACCUCAAAAUUUUGUGACACUGGACUCCCCGUGUGGCGUGUUGAGUGAUUCGGCUAAGCAACUAGCGAGUAGUAGUAGUAAACUCUGCAUAUUAGGUUUGACCAAAGUCAAACUUCCUAAAGUUUGACCAAGUUUAUAUAAAAAUAUCAACAUUUACCAUAACAAAUAUGUAUGAUGUGGAAGUACAUUCAAUAAUGAAUCUAAUGGUAUUUAUUUGUUAUUGUAUAUGUUAAUAUUUUUUGUUCUAAGCUUUCUGAGAGUUUACAAAACUUGACUUUGACCAAUGCUAAUACUCGGACUUAAAUAAAAACGGAGGGAGUACACAUUUGUUUUCUUAGUAUGUAGUGAACUAAUCAUUUGUUGAAAUUGUGAAAUAAAUAUAUUAGGCUAUUGACUUUGAAUGUAAUGGUCUAUACAAUUCAAUAGUUACAAUCAUUUUCGAAUCCCAAGAUGUAUACAAGGUCUAUAGUACUUCACAACAUUCUCAAACUCACAUAAUCCCAGUCAAAUGAGAAUCUAAAUGCAUUUCAUAGUUAUUACUUUGUAGGAUGCAACAAAAACAACCAAAACUCUACAUCAGCCAUUAUAGAAGCAACAUUUUGACAUAUCCCAUUGUGUGAAUGAAACAUGCAGAGAGAGCUUUUGAAGAUGGAGCAGAUAGGGCGGGAAAGAUUGUAUGUAUGUGGACGAGAGAGUAGGAGACAAAUCUAACGAGACACACACACACACACACACACACACACACACACACACACAGAGAGAGAGAGGAAGAAGUUAGGUCUGUGAGUAAGAUGGAGACAUGUAAUAUACGUGAUUCUGUAUACGUGGAAGGAGAAGAGUCAACAUGUUUGAUGAGAGAGCUGGAAAAACAUGGACGAGAGGGGAAGGAUCUCAUGGGUUGAGGAAUUGACAAUUUUGUGCGGGGGAGAGAGGGAUUGGUAAUUUUGUGCAAGAGAGAGAGAGGGUGGGGGAGGAGUCAGUCAGCUGUCGUCACAUCACCCUGCUUCCAAAUGACCCCGCAUUCUCUAGCGCGGUGUGGUCGCCGUCUUCGAUCUGCUUGAUGCCCUCUUUGAAGAUUGAGGUGUUGUGCAUNNNNNNNNNNNNNNNNNNNNNNNNNNNNNNNNNNNNNNNNNNNNNNNNNNNNNNNNNNNNNNNNNNNNNNNNNNNNNNNNNNNNNNNNNNNNNNNNNNNNNNNNNNNNNNNNNNNNNNNNNNNNNNNNNNNNNNNNNNNNNNNNNNNNNNNNNNNNNNNNNNNNNNNNNNNNNNNNNNNNNNNNNNNNNNNNNNNNNNNNNNNNNNNNNNNNNNNNNNNNNNNNNNNNNNNNNNNNNNNNNNNNNNNNNNNNNNNNNNNNNNAAAACAAACCUAAGGAGAGAAAUGGGUAUUCACAAAGAGAUUGCGCGGGCCUUGAGGUGGUCAGGGGCCGAGUGAGGGUGUCAAAAUGUGCGCGUUGAUGCAUAUGUUGCAUGCGAUCGUGCGAGGGACGGACGAAUCGAGAGAGAUGGUUGUUGUGUUAUAGAUGCUCCUCUCUCUCUCUCUCUCACACACACACACACAAGUAAACUAGAAGACCGUUCUCUCAUGUAUACACAAUGUAUCGGCAUCUGUCUAUGUCUCACUCAUGCAUGAUCAUUUGCACAUUCACACCUCUCUAUGUCUGUAUCACAUGCACACCGUCUCCACAUUGCCCUUCCGCCACAACACACAUAUGGACACAUACACACGUUCUCUCUCAGUCUCACACACAAAAUAAGUAUUAAAAAAACUAGGGCGCACCUAAAACGUCCAAAUCCAAAUAAACACAAACUGGAGCUAAAUUCAAAUAUAUGGAAAUAUUGCAGCGCCAAGAACUUUCCCAGGAAAAAAAGUUGAGUAAUAUUCGAGGAUUGUUUUCACACACACAAAAAGGUUCGGCGGAUGUCCCUCGAGUGCGACACGGUGACGCACCGUUCGAUCGACCGCGCGGCCGCGGUUCACGCGCUUGCACAGGAUUCCGUAUCGUGGCUGUGGUACUAACUUCAAAAAAAAGCGCUGCCUAAGUCUAAUGUUUACGUGUACUAGUACAGUUUUCUUUUAAGUUUGACCAACCUCAUAUAAAACUAAAGUAAGCUCCCAUACGCGCUCUCAUCAAUAUGUCGGCGCCGCCGUUGCACAUGCCGGCGCCUGCCUGCUCCAGCCAACAAUUUCUCGCCCAUCACCGCCGUGUCACCGCCAUUCCUGUGCCAUGAAGCCGAAGGCUCGCCUGCUCACGUCGUCUGCAGUCCCUCCUUGCCAUGCCGCCGCGCGGCCAAGCACACGAGCAGCUGGUGGAGCCACGUCUAUGCAUGCAGCGUACGAAGAGGAGGACGAGCGCGUGCUCCAGCACGCCGGCGAGGAGAAACUAGCAUGUCAUUGCCGUCUCCGCCCGCGCAGAGGAGGCGCGCAUGGUGGCUGUCACAGCGGAAGCUAGUCACGCACGCGCUGAGCCCGCAAACCGGGUGCGGACGCGGACUCUACCUUCGAGACCUUGAAUGCCACGUGGAUCCUGCAAUCUGAAGGAGCAAUUUGGGUCAGUCGACUCAUGUGAGCCAUUUGAUGCAACAUGGAUGGCUAGAAGGGCUUCUUCCACCUCUUCUGCCGUCUUCUUCCUUCGCUCCGUCAAACUUCUUUCACAAAUCGACUGACCCAAAUUAUACUACUAGUACGAACGUAUUAAGUACAGUGGGAACACGAAGGUACGAGAAGUAGUACCAACUGCAAGAAGAACAGUAGUAAGACAUAGUACUAGUACUACUCUACAUACUAAACAGUUCAAAUAACGAGAAAGAACAUAAACAUAGUUCUACUGGGGCCUCAGCACAACACACCCUUGAAAAUAAACUAAGCAACUAGUCAGCUUGACACUGCAGUAGAACCAGCAUGAGCGACGGCACUGCCACCUACUCGGAGUCCGAUUCCACGUCCUUGACUUCGUCCUCGUCCCUCUUCCUCUUCCUCUUCGCCGACGCUUCUUUGCUUGAACCGGACACUGGGCUCUGCUUCUUCAUCCAACCCAUGUAGAUAUUUAAACAAAGGUAGGCAUCCAUUGCUGCAUACAGGAUGUGAUCUUCAUCUAAUGUCUUCGACUCCCAUGCAUGAUGAAACUCGUGAUGAGGUUUUUUCAGUUUAGCGCACGAAGGAUCAAUCAUGGCUGCUGCCAGGGUCAGCAUUGAAGGUUGAGAGGAGGACACCAGGCUUGCCUUCUGGAGAUCAAAGGGCUGGCCUACAACGAGACCUAUCCGACGCAGGACUUCUUUGUCAUUCUUAAAGCCUACAGUAGUGAAUUUCACUCUUUUGUCCUUGAGGAAGUUCUUAAAAUCCCGGCACUCAACAUCGGCAUGGCAUAUUUGGUAGACCAAGCAAACGUUAUGUACGCAAACCUGGAUCAUGGCAGGCUUCUUCCUCUCUUCAUCCUUUAGAUCCUUCUCUCGUCCCAGGACUGUCGUGUACUCAACAUCUAGCCCAGCGACCCACUCAUCCGUUGAGCUGUUGAACAUGCGUAGGAAGCGAGCAAGCCAUGCUUUCACCAUCGCGGAUCCACGUGUGUAGAUGACGAUCAACUGAUCGCCGGUGAUGGCUCUAACCUGGUACUCAGCGGCGACCAUGGAGAUCUAGGAGGCCAUGGAUUUUGGAGGAGGGUUAGGAGAAGUUGAACUGUUGUACCCCGCAAAAACUGGGAGCGAACUAAUGUGAAAGGACGGGACGACUGGGAGCAAACUGUUGUGAGGUAGAAGACGGGGACGAGUAGGGUGUGCGAACGGCGUGGGGUUGCUGGCUUGCCCGGUGGAUAAACGGCUGCAAGCCCCCAAAGAGUUCUCGAGAACUAUGUGGGACCCACUAGAUAUCAUGUCUACUAAACCCAUAUCGUAGGCCUGACUGUAUAGCUUCUACCUGUUCGCACGCCAUGCCGGCGCAUGGAUGUAACUUCACUUAAUUCCGUCAACCAUCGCGCCUCCCACGACCUUCGCCUCCCUCGCGCGGUCGUGCCCUUUCAGACUUCGACCGGAUAAAAAUGAGCAAUUUUUUUUGCCUACUCCGCAUGCAUGAUACUCCCUCUGGUCCUUUUUACUCCCGUCAACCGUUUGCAAAGUGUUUGACCAAAUAUUUUUUUAAACACCACCUUAUAUUAAUUAACCAGCCACACCAGUACACUCAUUCGAUACAAUAUUCACCACACAGGGCGGUACGUUAUUUACAAGAAUACCAUCUAAUCUAUUGUCAAAGCUAUACUUAGCGAUUAAGUGUGCCACCUUAUUGGCCGAACGGCUAAUCUUUGACAAUUGAAGAUUGUUGAUCAACUUCGCGAUGCUCAACGCUUUCAUCUUCAGGUCACGCAUAGCAGACCUGUCAUAGUCUCCCGAUGCAAGAGACGCUACCACAAAAGCGCAAUCAGUCUCUAAAAUUACAGGAUUAUGAAGAGAAAUACAUAUGUGGAGACCGGCAAUGCAAGCCCUAAGCUCCGCUUCCUCCACGCUUUGACAGGCAUCAAUGAAAUCCCACGACCAAAUUUAUACUAAAAAUAUCAAUAUCUACAAUACUGAUUAUAAUGAGUAUAAGAACUACGUUUUAUAAUGAGUGUAAAAAUAUUGAUUUGACAUUGUGAAUGUUGAUACUCCCUCCGUCUAGGUGAGUAAGUCAUCUUAGGCUAUGCACCGUGACCAAGGAGGAGGGGAAAACGAGGGACAUUAAUGUUUAUUUGCUAAUUAAAUAGUAUUGCAUGCAAUGAACUAACCACUGCAUGUCAUGUUUGAUAGUCUCAGGUCAUUAAAAGCAUGCACACCCUCAUCUCUUAUUGGUUGAUAUGUCAAGAAACAAGAAACGAGGUAGAAGUUAAUGCACCGCGCGUACGUGUUUUGGGAUUAUUUGGUUUUUGUAAGAUGACUUACACACCUAGCUAUUAGAGUACCACUACCUCCCUUCUAGUUUAAAGGGCUCGACUCAAAAAUUUCACCUACUCUUAGCAAGAUAGUAGAGGCGGUGGAAUAGUUUUUGAAGUCUGCAAAAGUACUCAACUAAUGCUGUCGUUCUUCACAAAAAAAUGUGUUUACCAAUGCAUGCAUGAACACUAGUUAGUCUAACCCCCCUCUCUUCUUUAAUUCUUUGCCACAUCAGCAUGUUUGCUAUUCCCGUGUACCAGCUAAAAUACCACCAUGAUGGCCAGCUUUAAUCAUCGCAUGCAAUAAUUUAGUGCACCUUGAAAUAUGAACAUGUGUGGUGCGUGUAUGUUUUUAAUGACUUGAGACUAUACCUAGCCCGGCAUGCAAGAUGACUUAUUAUGCACCGUUCCCCAUACCUGCAGGAAGCCCGUUCAUCUCCAAAUCUUUUCCUCUCCAUGUGUGGAAACAAUAUGCCUGCCAAACUCUCCUUCUCCCUCUGACGGUCCCACCACUCCACCCUGUGUGAAAAAAUCUGCAUGCAUGACUCUCCUCCCCCCACGCUCGUCCAAUCCAUUGUGACCAGCAAUAUUUCCACCCCUUCGCUCCCCCGUAAUUUACUCCAACAAAUAUGCCCACGUAGAUUUUACUUAACUUCAGGUGCAUUGGGUCACUGACAUACCGGCCCAGCAGCGUACUAGCCCACAUGUCAGUGACGCAACUGGACCUGCAGUUAAGUCAGUGCAGCUCAGUCCAUAUCUUACGUAGGUGUGCCAUUGCUCGAUAUAAAUACUGCGCCUCCCAUGACAUCGCUAUCUCCUCCCCCUCGCGUUCACGUUCAUCGCUAUCUCCUCCCCCUCCCUCUCACGUCGACCACCAUGGCAUCUCCCCUCCCAAGCCCUAGGAACCCCUCGCUGCACCGCGCGGACGGUCAUGCGUCGCCUUUCCGUUCCUCGCCGCCACUAGUCAAGGAGGACGCAUCGGUGUUCCGCUCCUCGCCGCUACACGACGCGUCGCCAUUCCGUUCCUCGCCGCCAUUAGUCGAGGAGGACGCGUCGGUGUUCCGCUCCUCGCCGCGACGCGUCGAGGUGGACGCGUCGGUGUUGUCAAUCUCGCCGGCACGCGCAUCGGAGGACGCGUCGGCUCCCUGCUACGAGGAGAACGCCGCGCCGCCCACCGAGCCCCCCAGCCUUGAGGAGCUUUGGAAAGAAAUGGAUGUCGCCUUGUGGGAGGUGUUGCCUCCAGCAGAGCGCGCCAAAAUAGAGGCGGAGAAGAAGGUCGAGGAAGAGAAGCGCACCGCCCAACAAGCUUUCUGGGGGAUCUAUGUCGCGUCCGAGAGAGUCAAGCAAUUGGUUCUUUGGAAGAAGGCUCGUGCGAGGGCCGUGAGGGUGGUGGAGGACGCCCGUGCCGACGCCCUCAGUGCAGUCGGGCCCAAGCGCCUCAUCUACGCUUGGCGGUACGUGGACCGGGUGCACGCUUCCAGCCAGGAGGAGUACCUGUUGGCGCCGGAUCACCACACCGGUGAGAUCGCGCUCGCCCGCCGGCAAGCCGCCAAUCAUCACCUCGCGAGUUGCAAGGAUGAGGAAGAGGCAUUGUGUCGGUGCAUUGGGAAACGGCCGCGCACCAGGGCACUCGUGGCGCACCGCAAGCGCUCCUGCGAGCGUCGUGGCUUUUAGGAGGAGUAUAAUUUUUGUUUCAUAAGGCGAUCUCAUUAGUUUUGGGACGCAAAUGAUAAAUCCCGAACGUUUGGGAAUUUUUAGCGUCCUUAAUUAAGUAUGUAAAAGGGAAAGUUUGGAAACAUUGUGUAUUAUUACGCAUUUCGCAAGUACGUGCAUAUAGCACAAACUUUACUAUAUACUAUCGGACUACACGUCUCUCUCGAUAUAUGCUUGCAGACUGUGCUACUCCCUCCGUCCAGGUCAAUAAGUCAUCUUUGGUUGUGCACGGUGACCAAGAAGGAGGGAAUACUUGUACACCUAGACGGAGGGAGUACUACUAUUACUUAUGUACGUGCAAAUGCACGUUUGAACAUUACGAUGCGGUUUUUGUAAAAGUGAAAAAAAAAACAGCACUAGUCAAGCUUGUGAAAUGAUUCAAUGCAAAACAAAUGCAAAUAUUCUCGUUUGAUUGUUUACUUUUAGCUUCCUUCUCUGUGGUUAUUUCUCUGUGCACCGUGACCAAGGAGGAGGAGAAAACGAAAAACGUUAAUAUUUAUUUGCUAAUUAAUAGUAUUGCAUGUAAUGAACUAACCACUGCAUGUCGGGUUUGAUAUCUCAAGUCAUUAAAAGCAUGCACACUCUUUAUCUCUUAUUGGUUGAUAUGUCAAGAAACAAGAAACGAGGUAGAAGUUAAUGCACCGCGCCUAAGUGUUUUCGGAUUAUUUGGUUUUCGUAAGAUGACUUACACACCUAGAUGCACCGCGCCUAAGUGUUUUGAGUAACAUUUUAUCAGUUAAAUCUUUGGUCAAAAUUUAGCACAAAUUACAAUGAUGAGGAAUAAACCAGGAUGGAGUAGUAGUUUAGAAGCCCAAAUAAAUGAGUGAGGGGCCUUAUUGUUACUCUCCACUGUGACUAAUCUUGUGGGAAAAGCUGGGGAAGCCGCCAAAAGAACUGGCCCUAGGAGUAGUAGCUAGGGAUCGAGCGUGGGAGAUGAACCGGAGAAAGUAAAUGCAGAGAGAUGAAAUGCAAAAAAGACGGAGGGAUGUGAUGGUUGCUUGUCUGUUUAUUUUACCAGGCCAUUUAUUACUGGGAGUGGUUGGGUUUUGUGAUAUAACGGCUUUACUGUCGCACCACGAGCGGAGUGAGAGGUGAGACUCCCGUGCAGCGCCGCCCUCUACACUUGUACUACAUCGCUCGUGGUUUAUUAGUCCCCCAUUGAAUUUGACUGAAGAUUUAACUGACAAAAUGUUAGUGCAUGUCAACAAAAACUAUAUCGUUGGAUUCGUAUUUGAACAUAGUUUUGAAUGAUUUAAUUUUAGGUGACAUGCAACAGUAUUUAUAAUGUUAGUUCAAUUUUUGGUCAUACUAAUCUAUAGUAGUAAGGUGCGCGUGCGUUGCACCGAAGAGUGAAAUGCAUUGAUCAGGGAGUUGUUUACAUUGACAAAGGAUGUGGGGGUCAUCUCAUGUGUAACGGGUAUCGAUAGGUUUCUUCGGAUAUUAUCUCAUCUCUAGAGCUCACAAACAUCUGGGUGAAAUAGAUAAAAAGGUAUCUUUUGCAAACAAAAGCGUUCAACUGUUCAACCUGCAUCCAAAACUUAUGAAGAAAUAACACUUAUUGUGCUUUGCAAGAAAUGAUCUUUAAGAAUUAGUUUUUGAGUAUCGAUUGUUAUACAUGUUGGCUACAGAUGACAUGGCACUUUCUUAUUGUCAACAGUUGGCUAUACUAUUAAGUAAUAUUAACCAUGCCCUUAUACAACUAGACGGAGGGAUUAAAUCAGGAUGACUUGCAAGGGGGAAGAGGAGAUGUAAGAAAUGGUUCAUUGUAAGUCUUUCACCAGUACUGUAGUAAAAAUUCAUACAUGGAAGAUUCUAGACUAAACCAUAAACGGAUACACUUUUAUUCAUUCGCGAUACUCCAAUAGAGCAAGAACCUGCAUGGAAGUCUCCACAUGCUUGGACAGCGGAUUACAUUGAGCGAAGACUAAUGAUCAACAUUUAACUUGAUAAUGCGUAUUUUUUUAGAAGAACAGGGAGGCUCCUCCCCGGUUCCAUUAUCAAAUGAAAACCAAAGUGUCUUACAUCAGCUCAAUGAGAGGAGCAGUUCAAAGGAAGGACUGCGGCGAAAGCCACUCAAGUUUAACGACAAGCUUACAUAAUCAAAAGCGGCAAAGACACGGGCCAUAAGCGCCCACACACACACUACAUGUUUUCUAAGUGCACUUGAUAAUGCGUAUGUCCAGGUGAACCUCCUUGGAGUCCCCGUGCACCGAGUCAGCGGGUAAAGGAUAGAACGGAUGCCAUGGUUUUUCCAAGUCCACAUUGGCGGGAUAGUCCCAGCUCCUCAGAUUCCAAGUCUGUCCGAUGAGGCCGGUUUCGCCGCCCACGUGACCCGAAGGGGUAGUAGCAUUGACCUUGCACCCGUACAUCUGCCUCAUGACAGUGUCAGCGUCAGCGGCAAUGCCCCUGAAGCACGCUACAAAGACGGGGCGGCGGCCUGCGCAGGCCUCGCCGGUGCCCACGAUCAAGAGGAAGACGCUGCCGUCCUCCUCUGAGACUAGCAGGCGGCGGUGAUCCUCCAGCGACUCCGGCAUGGUGAACCGGUAGCACGUGUCGUACUUGAUGUUCUCCGCCUAGGGCCAGCAGUGACUGAUGCACGCAUUCGUGAGGUGAUGCACCAUGUCCGCCAGCGAGCCACAAAACGGCAUCGGGCACUCAUAGCAGUGGACGAUGGGCUCCUUGGAGGCAUCGACCAGGCCGUCCAUGAAACGGGAGUGGCUGUAGGGGAUGUUGCGCCAGUUGAAUAUGUGAGCAAGUUACUAUGAGAUUUAAUCCGAAUAAGCACAAAAUAAAUCAUGACGGCUAUAACAGAGAUGAAACUAACCAUGUGGACUAGCAUAGUAGUAGGAUACAGAGUAGAAACAUGAAUUUACCACAAUUUCAAACAGGAAGGACAGAAACACAUACGCUGCAACGGGAGCAGCACCGUUGGCAUUGAGGUUGUCGCCCAUGUCGUUGAGGAAGAGGUUGCCAAGGUUGGGGAAGAAGUCGUCGUCGGUGAAGUCGUGGCUGCCAGCAGUCGCGAGAGUGCGCUCCCUAGAUUUCAACAGCGCCUGCCGAAUGGAGCGCAGGAGGGAGUGGCUGUAGGGGACGUUGCGGCCGCCGAAUGGAGCGCAGGAAUAGCACACAAAGCAGUAGAUGGUGUCCUUACUAGUACUCCCUAGUCUCUAUCUAUCUAUAUCUGUAUAUAUCUACUCUUAUAGAAAACCGAGUUGGUGAUGAUGGUUUGCCUGCCAUCUUGUAAUAUAGAUCGUCCGAUCUAUAUCUAGCGGAUAUAAAGCCAACUAUGACAAUUUUACAAAAGAUACCCGCACCUCUCUCCACAUUUAUAGAUAAGGCCUUACCUCGUGCUCCUCUCUAUGUCUCUAUCUCUACAAGUACUUUUUUUAUAACAAAUCGAAUAGUGCUGCACCGUUCGCUGCACGCCCGGCUGAACACGCCUCCUCGCCUCCAUCAUCACCAACUGAGUCUUUUAUAGGAGUAGGUGUAGAGAAAAAACCGAGUUGGUGAUGAUGGUGUGUCGUGCAAUGCACGGGCAUCUUGCUAUUUUUUUGCAUAUAAGUCCAAACACCACGUAGACACGGUCUUUGAGCACGGUUCAUAGUCGUUCCAUGAUAGGGCAUCGAAGUUUGUAACUAUUUUAGAUUAGAAUAUACUACUCCUCCGGUGCUAGUAGUAGAGCAGAGUCCUACUCUACUACUCUACUCUAGCAAGCUAGGGCAUAGUACUGUAGUAGGUACUGUAGGGAGUACCAGUACUGUGAUCACUCAAGCAAGUUGUCUCGCAUCGAUAUGACCCUACGCUGCUGGUAUGUGUCUCGUAAGUCAAGCAGCAUGUUGUAGUCAUCAUCACCUGUCCACUUCCCACAGCACAUAUUCGCUUCUCCAUCUUUGUCCGCACAUAAUCUCGUCCAAGCUUCCAUCCCCGCUAAGGCGCCUCCCCCCCCCUCGUCUGAAACCCAAGCACUAACAAUGGCACAACUGAGCAGCGUCCGCCGAAAGAGUGGCUGGAAUUCACUCCCCACAGAGGUAAUCAAGCUCAUUCUUUCGCGUGUGGACAAACUCAGUACCAUGCCGCUCGCCGCGUGCUCGUCGGGGUUGUACCGUUUACUCAAAGCCCUCGGGCCGGAGCUUUUUAAGCUAGCUCCUUGCUUGCUGAUGCCGCCUGAUCUUCAGAAACGGCGUGUCACGCAGCAUAAUGAUCGUAGGGUGGCGAGCAUCAACCCCCUUCACUACGAUCCAAUCCCCGUCAGCCUCAGCUACAUUAACGGUAUGUACUGGGUCGUCAUGAACACGUCUUGGAUGGUGCUCGUCGAUGGUCGCGGCAGCUGGAUGCUCGUGGAGGUCUACACCCGGCGAUUGAUUCCCCUUCCUUCGAUUAACACUGCACUGCUUUGGCACUGUGGCCCAGAAUACUCGGAAUCUUACAGUACCCAACAUGAUACCGAGUUUGAUUUGCUCAAGGUUGUAAUCUGCCAAGUGCCCACAAGAUCUGGGAAUUAUAAAGAUUUCAGGCUAAUUGCGUUCUUCAACCGCGGUCUCGCCUAUCUGACAGGUCACUGCGGUAAGUGGAUAAAUCUGCACGUCCAUCGCAGGAUCAUACAUCUUCCAUGGUUCUCUGAUGCCAUUGAACACAAGGGCUUCAUUUACGCUGUCGACUCCUUCUAUGGCUAGAUGUAUUGCUGGCCUACUCAAGUCAUCGCUACAAACGGCUGUUACAGCAGUAUGUUACUUUCCUAUGAUAUCAUGAUGGCUUGCUUAUAUUACUGUCAACAUUUACUGAAAAAUAUUCAUGCUCAUAACAUGCUGUUCUUAAGAUUGACUAAAUCAAGAGCCCUUUUUUAUUUGACUCCAACUUGAUAUGAUGUUGUAGGCCGCCUGGUGUCCCUACCCUUCCUAAUCCCAGAACCUUUCAAAGAAAAGCGGCAUGGCAGUUGCAGGUGGUUCCUGGCUCGAUCAGACGACAGCGAAAGAUUGAUGAUCGCUCGCACGUACCGGACGUGUUGUUUCGCGGAAUACAAUCACAGUCACUGCAAGGUCUUUGGGCAGGAUCCUAGCUUCUCUGGGCCUUCAGGAAUUUUUGACUGGAGGCUGGUAAGUAGCCUUGGCACACGCUCUCUGUUUGUCAGACUAAAUUAUCCGAUUAACCAGGAGAUAACUGACGGCAAGGAUCAUGAUGGCAGCGCGGUUUCGUUCAUCAGGCAAAAUUGUGUGUACACAGCAUACCAUGCGUCUCUGCAUGCACCAUACCCUGAUAUGUGCCGCCAUGCUCUGCAGCCCAAAGUAGGAGAGAGGGUCGCAAGUAUCAGACUUCGACCUGCUGGCUGGAGUUUCCCUCGUCAGGCACCCAUCUGGUUCAAGCCGUCAGCCAAUCUCCAUAGCUUAAUAAAUAGUAACGUCUAACUGAGUCAGUUAGUUAGAUGCGUACACUUGGUGUAGUAGGAUCUUUAUUUAGUUUGAUGCAUACACUUGUCCUUUUUUGGUAGCCCUUUUGUAAUAAUGGCUGAUGUUUGGUUUGGAAGAGAGAGUUGCGUCUUCACUCUUCUGGCCUGCUUACUGCUUCUGUUGCACCCCCAGCCCUGGUUGCUGCUGCUGUUGUUUUCAAUGUACAAUUAGCAGUAUAUUUCUUCUGUUGGUUGAAUAUAAAUGUGUUGUUAGAACGACAAACACAAUGUUUUGGAAGUCGUUGCAUGGUUCGAUCCUUUAGUGCCCCGUACCGUAUGUAGCUCAUACUAUUUUUCGUACGGAACACAUUUUCCACUUGUUGAUAACAUGCAGCCCACUGAUGAAGGCCCAAUAGAGAAGCCCAUAAUUAACUAGAAGGGACGCUCUCACAUGAAUCCGGCCCAGGUACAUGCUCAUGGUCCCCUAAACAUAAAUAAGUAAAUAAAUAAAUAAAUAAAGCUAAAUGCUCAUGCACCAGUUCUUUGGGAAAAUAGGUAGCCCAGUAUUUCUUUUUGAAUAAUACCCAAGCUAGGCCUAUUUGUUUUCUCCGAAUUAUUGGGCUGCAAAUCUUUCAAGACGAGCAAAUGCGAUAUUAGUUUUUUUUUUAAUUUUGUUCUUCACUGAUAUCUUAUACGUAUUUCAUUGGAUUUAACAUGACAUAGUACUAACUUAUUUUUGAAUUUGUUUUAGUAUGGCUAUUAAUUUUUGGAUUAAGAAUAUUUCGUUCCCCAGCAAAAAUUUCCCACAUAUUUAGUUAAUUUUUUGACCCUGGUACUGACCAGAAAAUGGCCGACAAUUCUAAAAAUGGAAAACGGGAUGCAAUAAAUUCCAUAUGAAUUAGAAAAUGAGUAAAAAUUAUAAAAAUAAUAACAAAUGGCACGCCACAGAUUUCGAGGCUGACUUGUUUACGCAAGGCUUUGUCAGUGAACACAGAAUUCUAGCCGCCAUGCUUCUUCAAUCUCUGAUCUUCCUGCUCCAGCCGCCUAAACUAGCACCGGCAAGACUGCCUGCUCCCUCCUCUUGUGGCCCGCUGUGAAGCCGCGCAGGCUUCCCCGGCCUACCCUACUCCCUCCGUUGGCCUGGCCGCACGCAAUCAACUGCCUCCUUAUUACGCGAAAAAUGAUUACUCCCACUGACAUCUGGGGCGCACCGGUUGGGAGGCUGACCUGUGGGCCUACUACGUUGACGCGUACGCAGGGCUUGUCAACUUAGUCAAUAAACGAUUCUAGCAGCGGUAACCUUUGGAUUUGAAUCGAACGGUCCUGCUGCUUCUUCAAUCGCUGCUCUUCUUGCACCAGCCGCCCAAACCAGUGCCGGGGAGACCGCCUGCUCCUGCCUCCAGUGGCCGGUUGUGCUGCCGUUGAGUCCUCAUCGCCCCCUACUACUCCCACCGCUAGUCAGGCCCUGCAGCGACGGCAGCCUCACACCGCAGCCGAACCAGUGAACCCUGGUACUCCUCUCCGCGUGGGCAUCCACUGCCGCGUCUUCCCCGGAUCCGCGGCGUCCCCUUCCUAGGCCUUGUCGUCGUCCACCGCCUUGGUGCUCUCGGCGCGGCGUGGUCAAUGUGGUCAACGACAUUCCAUUAGGAGAGUAUUGUACGUGUAGAGGCUGACAGCUGGGUCCAUGGCCACAGCCCAGUUUUUUUGUGAUUUGUCAAGUAAGUCGCUUUGUCAGGCCUGUUGGGCUGUAAAUCUUUCAAGACGAGGAGAGCUUUCAUUCGGCUGGCCGAGAAAAUGGUCCAUCAGUAAUGAGAAAUGGGAUGUACAUUUUUAAAACACAUCAAACCGGCAGUUAGUUUCAAAUAUCUUUUUUUUCAUUUCGAGAUUUUAAAUUACAUUAAUUUUUAUGCGUGGAGAAUUUGUUGGAUUUUAUAUUGAUAUACAUUUAUUUUUAAAAUCAGUUUGAAUGUGAGUCGAAAUUUCAGGAUUAAAAACAGUUCAGACCGCACCAAAAUAUGCAAAAUUUCGUAUAAGUUUUUAACCGUGGCCACAAUAUGGGUUGUAAUGCUAACAAAAAGAAUAUGGGCUCCAAAAAAACCUUAAGAAUUAGCAAAUGGGCUGUAAAUUAUUAAAAAUAAUGGCAGAUGGGUUGUAUGCUGUUUUCCACAGAUUUGAGGCUUUCCUAAAAAAAAGGUUGACGCACAAGCAGUGACUGUUGGAUGGCCAUCCAACGGCCGUCGUGCUUCUUCAAUCUCUGCUCUUCCUGCUCCAGCCGCUCAAACAAACACCAGCGGGACUGCCUACUCCCUCCCACCCGCGGUCGGCUCUGACAGCUCGGACCCACCAGUUAUAUCUUCGUACGCAAGGAAGUGCCUCCUUAUUACGCACAAAAAAAUGAAUACUCCCCCUGUUAGCUGGGACGCAGUAUACUGGCAGGCUGACUUGUGGGCCUACUAAGUUGACGGGGACGGAGGGCUUUGUCAACUUAGUCAAUAUGCACGAUUCUAGCUCCAGUGACCGUACGACAUCCAUCCAACGGUCGUAGUGCUUCUUCAACCUCUGGUCUUCUUGCUCCAGCGGCCCGAACCAGCGCCGGUCGUGCAUCAUGCUCCUGCCUCCCGUGGCUGGCUGCGAUGCGGCGGAGGCAUCACCGCCUCCUACUACUCCCAACACUGGCCAGGCCAUCCCUCUACUCACUCACACCCCCUGUUAAUCUGCGGCGACAGCAGCCUCACACCGCAGCAAACCAGUGAACCCUCGUACUCCUCUACGCGUGGGCAUCCACUGUCGCGUCUUCCCCGGCUCCGCGUCGUCCCCUUCCUAGGGGCCUCGCCAUCGUCCACCGCCCUGGUGCUCUCGUCGCGGCAUGGUCAACGUGGUCAAGGAACGGCUUCCAUCGGACGUGGACUGUACGUGGAGAGGCUGACAGCUGGGUCCACGGCCGCAGCAAGGAAGUGCCUCCUUAUUACACGCAAAAUAAUUAUUCCUCCACCUGACAGCGGUGACCCACCGGACGGGCCACCAUAUUUAGCGAAAAAACGUGUCCCCAUGACUGCUGGGACCCACCAGCUACACCUUCGCAUGCAAGGAAGUGCGUCCGGACGAAAAAAACGAUUCGCCCCCUGACUGCUGGGACCCACCAGCUACAUCUUCGCACGCAAGGAAGUGCGUCCGGGCAAAAAAAACGAUUCGCCCCCCUGACUGAUGGGAACCACCUACUACAUCUUCGCACGUAGAGGAAGUGCGUCCGGGCAAAGAAAAAAUGAUUCGCCCCUCUGAUUGCUGGGAUCCACCAGCUACAUUUUUGCACGCAAGGAACUGCCUGACAGUCGGGACGCACCUGGUCGAAGCGUACAUAGCAUUGUCAUUCUGGUCGCGAACUUGUACAUACAUAUAUACUGGUCGAUGUAGAGGCGUGCAUGUGUCGUAGUAGAGGCGCGUACGUGUCGUAGUAGAGGCGCGCACGUAGCAUGUACACGUACGUACAGCGGCCAGGGUGCAAGAAAGAAAAUACGGCCACCUAUGUGCACAUACGGGCGGGGUCUCGAACGCCUAGUCGGGCAUACGUACGGCGAGGGCUCGUGUUCAUGGGGAGGCAACGGAAUGCGUCGUGUUCAUGGGGAGGAAACGGAAUGUGUCAUGUUCAUGGGGAGGCAACGGAAUGCGUCGUGUUCAUGGGGAGGCAACGGAAUGCGUCGUGUUCAUCGGGACGCAACGGAACGCGUGGGAGCCAACCGGCUUGGACGGAACAGGCGAUGGAAAUGAGGCCUGGCGUACCGCAGAAUGGAGGAAACGGACCUCCUACGGUCGAAACGGGGGUCCUGUUGAUCGGGAGGGGUGUGGCAUACUGCAAAACGGAGGAAACGGACCUCCUACGGUCGAAACAGGGGUCAUGUUGAUCGGGAGGGGUGUGGCGUACCGCAAAACGGACGAAAUGGACUUGUGUUGGAGCGCUACGGUUGAAACAGGGGGGAAGGGUGUGGCGUACUGCAAAACGGGACUCCACGGGAUACUGUUCAUCUCCACCGUCGACUCCUCCAGCCUCCACGGGCUACCGUCGACCUCCUCCAGCCUCCACGGGCACCUGUUCAUCCAGCCUCCACCGCGCGCUUCUCCACCGGCUACUGUUCAACCACCCCUCCACGGGCACCCCUCCACCAUCUACUGUUCAUCCAGCCCUCCACACCACGGGGUCCUGUUCAACCACCCCUCCACGGCCACCCCUCCACCGUAUACUGUUCAUCCAGCCCUCCACACCAUGGGUUCCUGUUCAUCCAGAGGCAACGCCACCGCUCACUGUUCAUCCAACCCCCCUCCCCCCGCAACGCUCACUGUUCAUCCCAGAGGCAGCAUCGAUCGGCUUCAGUUAGCAGCAGUAGCGAAGGAAUCGCUCCAUCGGGUUCAGUUAAAAGCCAUCGAUCGAUCGCUCGGGUUCAGUAACGCGUAGCCUGCAGUGCAAUCGCUCGGGUUCAGUUAGAGCCCAACGCCUCGCUCAGCUUCAGUUAGAGCCAACGCCUUGCACACACGCGUGUACGUACGAGAGAAACGCGCAUCGCUCCACCCCCGACCUCCCACCGUAACCGGCAACUCCCCGAAAUUUUCCUCCCCCUCGCUUCUACCAUGGUUUUUUCCGUCAUGGACAGCCCAAAGAAUGUCAUGCAGCUGCGUCUCCGGCCCGCCCAGGACGAAAAUCCCAUUUUCUGUCAUGAUUUUUUGUCAUAGAAGUAGGAGCCCACCACAUAUAUGAUGAUACCGGGUUUUGUCACAAUUAUCGUCAUAGAAGUGUCAUAUGUAUGACAGAAAAAAAAUUCGUUCGGCCCAAAAUGUCACGGAUGUGUCUUUUUUUGUAGUGAAGGUUAACUCCCAAUUUAGUCAAGUGGUUGUGGUACCCAGACAUUCUGAGUAUAUGUUCACUGACAGAACUAUUCUCCUCCAUUUUACAGCUAUAGAACUUAUUGGAGACUUCAUAUCUCCCAAUCCAAGCAUUUGCUUGAAAUAUUAACUUCAACUCAUGGAACAUCUCAUAUGCUCCAUGACAUUCGAAACGUCGUUGAAGUCCCGGUUCUAAUCCGUAAAGCAUGGCAGACUGAACUAUCGAGUGGUCAUCAGCUUUGCUCUGCCAUGCAUUCUUAACGUCAUCAGUUGCAUCUACAGCAGGACUGGCACCCAAUGGUGCUUCCAGGACGUAAUUCUUCUGUGCAGCAAUGAGGAUAAUCCUCAAGUUAUGGACCCUGUCGGAUUUUGGGUUUCGGCAGACCCUUGAGGUUCGAACUCUAGGGUGCACAAGAAGAUCUUUCCCCUACCAACUCACGUCUCGAAGCCUCGCAAGGGAUCUAGGCUAGAAAGAAGAACACAUAAGGGACACAAGGUUUAUACUGGUUCAAGCCACCAUUGUGGUGUAAUACCCUACUCCAGUGUGUGGUGUGGUGGAUUGCCUCAGGGGAUGAUGAACAAUACAAAGGAAGAGCAGCCUCGCGAGAGGUGUUCUUGAGUUGGUGCGAUGAACUGCUUGGGUGAGUUCAGUGGCCUCUCUCUCUCUAGUCUACCCAAAAUCUGGAUGCCUACUCUGUGGUGGCUAGCUCUAUUUAUAGAGGGAGGCCCUGGGCCUCUUCCCAAAUAAUGAGCGGGAAGGGCGCCAAAAAUUGGCCAUUUUGAAGGGGAACAUCUAGUACACUUAUCCUGACUAAAGUUGGUCUUCGACUGCCAAAGACUCUGACGGUGAUGCCGUCCUGGGCUCCACGGUGACCUCCAACCUACCGUUCUGCUGGUCUUGGUCUUGUUGCACCGAAACGGUAACCUUUGCCUGAUGCCUUGGCCUGUGCUUGCCCCCUUUGCACCAAAGAGGAAACAAGGACACUGCGUAGGCUGGCGCCCGCCUGGCGCCCGCCUGGUCUCGAUCGUCAUGGCUUGCGUCAUGGGCACCUUGCGAGGUACCCUGCCUUGAUCUCUCCGCCACCUCGCGAGCCCGCCUGAUGAGGCUGCUCCUGAGGAAGCUUCCUGUCGUCCGCCCCGCUAGGCUUGGCCCCUCGCGAGGGUCUUGAGCUUGAGCUGAUGAAGCUGGGCUGCACUGGGCCUCCGCUUGAGCCACGCCGCAGGCUGCAGGCAGGCAAGUCUGGGGACCCCCAUUCCCAGAACACCGACAGUAGCCCCCGGGCCCAAGGCGCGCCCGAACUUGGCUUAGCAGAGAAGCGAAGGGGAAAGUGUGAAGCGCCGCGGGCCCCAAUAGCAUGCGGCCUUGGGCACCGCGUGACGAUUGAUUGGACGUGGGCGUCUCCGCUUCCCCAUGAUGCCUCAUUACGCGCCCGACUAGGUGGAACCGUGGUUGCACACAGCCAUUCCCCUUUCGCUGUUCGCGCGCUUCCUGCCCUUCCUCCUUCCUCGAGCUCCAACCCCCGCCUCCAAUCCAACUCGAACUCUCCCCUCUUCCCAUUGCCAUGGCGCCAACGAUGAAGGAAAGGGGGAAGAAGCCCGCGCCUUCGCCCUGCUCGUCUCCGGCGGCGGCCCCCGCCGUUGAUCGGUCAAUCAUACUGAACCCCGAAGCCUUGGACAAGGUCCGUUCUGCUCUUGCCUCCAUCUUCAACAAGUGCGGCAGGACUACGGUCUGGCCUGCGUCCCAUGCCUCCUUUUAUAGGGUCAUCACGGAGGCCCGGUUCUUCGUCGUUGCCCUGUGGGCGGGUCUGGUUCCCCCCUUUUCCGCUUUCUUUAAUGCGGUGCUCUCCCAUUAUCAGAUCCACAUGAUGCACUUGGGGCCUGAGUCCAUUACCCUCCUGGCUGUUUUCGCCUUUGUUUGUGAGGCAAUGGUGGGAAUUCCUCCUUCCGUUGCCCUCCUGUGCCACUUCUUCUCUUUGCGCCUGAGUGACCUCACUCAAUGCUCGGGGUGUGUGAGCUUCCUCGCCGAGCCAGAGACGGCUACUUCGGGGAUCGAUUUCGGCCUUCCUCCUCCUGAGGCCAGGUUCAGAGAGCUGUGGUUGUAUGUGGAUCUCGGAGUGCCCAGCCCCCUGCUCUCGCACCCGACCUCGCCCGCUGUUCCCAACUCAGGCUGGGAUCAUGAGACGCUCGCGAGCCCCCGGCUCGCCUUCAUCUGGCGCCGCUUCUGGAGCUUGAGGGUGCUCGACGUGACGGCGCCCAAGGUGGUGAAGGAGUUCCUCCAACAUCGCAUUGCUCCUAUCCAUCGCCACUCCCGUCGGAUGUGGGCCUUUGCGGGGCACGAAGACCGCAUGCGGCUCCAGGAGGAGGAUCUGGCGCCUGAAGUGCUAAGGACGGUGCUCAGGGUCCUGACUGGCGAUCCUUCCCCAGGCAGCCUUCGACACGAGGCUGCCCUCUUGUAUCUUUGCUCGGGCAGGGCCGAUUUUGUGAGGCAGAUGCCUAGCUUUGACGAGUGGGGCUGCGUCCGGUUAGCCUCACGGGGCCCGCGAGAACCCAGUUGUUGUGGUUUCUCUUCCGGUCGCCCACGAUGGUCUUGCCUCAGGCGAUGGAGCGGGGAGACGAGAACCGCUGGGAGCUGAGGGGCCCGAUGUCGAGAUGCUGACGCCGCGCGGAGCCCCGAAGGCGGCAUCCCCCGAAGCCCAUCCUGGAGCAGUGGCAGGCGAGGAGUUGCAGCCUACGGCUCCUGAGGCUGGGGCUUCCGAGGCCCCGGCCGUCCCUCGUGAGGCGGCGCCUGGCGGUGUCCCCCAGGCCGGUUCCCUUGGCGCUGAUCACCUUGACGCCUCCUCCAUGCCACAGGCUGACCCUUGUGCCGAGCGCUUAGGCCGGUUCUGCAUAGACUUCGAGGCCCUCCACAAGAGGAAGGAGGCCUUGGGUGGCGAUGAUCGCCCUUGCCGCCUGUUGAAGCGCAGGAAGUACUUUGCCAUGGAUGAGUAAGUCCUAUUCUCUCUCUGCUCCUUUACCUCACUUUUCCUGCAGCUGAUUGCGGCCUUUCAGGGCCCUUCCUGUCGAAUUCGCGGAGACGGCCAAGGAGCCAUCCCCCCAAGCUUUGUCUUCACCGCUGACCCUGGGCGCGCCGAGCUCGAGCAGCGCCCCCACCGCUGGGCCGGUCGGAGAAGUGGUCUGUCCCGCUGGGCACCUCGAGCCUGUGCGCCUACUGUCCUCCCUUCACGAGCUCUCCUGGGGCACAUCUAGCUUGCCCCGCGCUCCUUCCCUGAUCAUGGAUGGUGACUGGCUGAACUCAAUCUUGAGUUCCUCCUCUGGGGACGGACCGGCGCCAGGCCAGAAUCCUGGCAAGGUCCGUCCACGAUUGUUGGGGCGCCAGACCCCAGCCCCGCACCGGGAGGGGGCAUUGCCGCCUCAGGGCCCUCCGCAUACACAAGUGGCAGAGGGUGACAUGGAAGGCGUGCUCAGGCGCGCUCGGGAGCAUCGCACCCUUUGUCAAGAGUUCCUCCAGGGGCCAGCGGAUGCGGUGAGCCAGCUCGGAGCGGAGCUUGCUGACGAGGAUGCGCGCCUUGAGGCCGAAGGCCUGCGCCUUGCUGAGGAGAGGCGCAAGCUGAAGGUAACCGUCGCCCUUGCGUGUCACCAGCGUGACCUUGAUAACGCGAAGGCUUAAGCAUCGCUGGUGGCUUCGUGGGAGGUCUGCUCCCAAGCCGUCGAGGAGGCCUGGGAAGCAGACCGACGGCGCAAGGAUGCGGAGGAGCGUGCGUGGGAGCUCCAAGCUUGGAGCAAUUCUCUGGAGCGGCAAGUGGAACUGCGCCAGGUGGCCCUUGUGUCGCUGAAGGGGGCUUCCGUCGACCAGGCGGAGCUCCUGAAGCGCGAGGAGGCGCUGACGCUAGAGGCCGCCGAGCGCAACCUUGACCUUGAGCGGUUGGAGACGAGGCAUCGCCUGGUGACUCAGGCGGAGGAUGACGUCGCCGCGCGGGAAGCCCGAGUCCAAGAAGAGGUCGACCGCCGCGUGGCGGAAGCUUGCUCGGAUCUUGACCACGAAUACGAAGUGAGGUUGGAGCUGAUCAGGGCCGAAGCUGAGGGUAGGACUGCGGCCCUCGGGGCCGAGCUAGCUGAAGUGACGUCGAGUGCGGACUCCUCCGCAGCCGCCCUUGGUGCAACGCAGGCGAAGCUGGCCUCUUCCCACGCCGAGCUGCUUCUUCUCCAACAGAGGGUUGAUGGCGCCAAGGCCGUCGUGCAGCGGAAUGAGGACGAGAUCCAUCAGCGGCAGACUGUGGAGCAUGAGCAUGCCCCCAUGCUCCGAACACUCAGGGGAAGGGCCAAUGCAGCCCUGGGCAACGUUUGCGAGGCGGUUGUUCCUGAGCCUUGCGUGAUCAACUACACUGGCAACCUUUGGUUCUUCACGGAUGUGGUGACGCAGCUGGAGACUCACUCUGACAGGGCCCGUUGGCUUGUCGAGGAGAGGAGCCGAGCCUUGCUUGGGCGUGCCUUCUCCCGUGUCUUAAGCUAUCUACAGAACAAAGAUCCCCACUUCGAUUUCGACGCCGCCAUCGCACCGGUGCCCGUAGCCAUUCGGGGCGAUCUGGCGCAAUGGGUGGAGGAAAACGUGGACGCCCUCGUCAGGGCCUUCGCAUCUGAUGAUGAUGGCAUGAUUGUGGCCGCCGAUGAAGGUGGCAUUGUGGACAAGCCUAGCAUUGAUGGAGGUGAUGGCGGUGGCGGUGACGAUGUCAGUGAUGCCAGCGACGCCUCCGGAGGCGCCCCAGAAGACGUGGUGAGUGAUAUGUCCAACUGAUCGUAUGUCGCUAUUGUUUACCCUGUACGAAAAAGGUUUGGGCUCGGCCCUGAAGAUUGUAAGAGCAUUUUGGGAGGGGGAGCCCCUCAUGCAAAGGUUUGCGAUCAGUAUCCUUGCAAACAUAACAUCGCGUGUGAGCUUUUGCUGGGCUACUAGCCUGGCGAUGGGUCACCUGACUUGUUUACCUUUUGACCCUGACGGGCCCCGAGCGAGCCUGUGGGAGCCGGAGCGCCUCAAGUGUCUUCUGGGUGAACCCAUUGAUCCUGCGACGACAACCUCCUGAGAGGGUGCGGCGACAGCGGUCCGGAUUGUAGACGUGCUUGGCCCAGCCCAGCUCGCGAGAGGCUCGCGAGGGGGGCAGCUAACGCUAACUUUGGACGCAAAGCCGAAACCAGAACAUGAGAGAUUGCUCGAACGAGACUAAACACCCCUUCCCCAAACACACACAAGUCUCAAGCUCAAAUCCAACUUAAAUUCGAAUUGAAGAACCUUGACAACAGAGGAAAAGGCAAAAGGCAAAAAGCUGCAUCCGGCACCUAGUCUAGUCUUCGACGUCUUCUCACCAGCGCGGAGCUAAGUGCUGCCACUAGGCGUGGGCGGGAGCCCCCAAGGCUCGAGGGCGGCUCUCCGGAGACUCCGGGGCAUGUACAGCCCCACUCAUUAUUACGUGAGAGUGCAUGGGUGGCGAGCUUCACAGGCACUGGGCCUUCUUCACAGGUACCGGCCUUGCUUCAUAUCGCCAGACGAGGGUCCCGCCUUGCGCCACACUCUACCGCCAUCAACGGCGACCGGAAACCAAGGACGACGCCAAUGGGGUAGAGUAGUCGCCAGCGGUUCCCCCGACGACCACGGGUCCUCUGCCGGGGGCAGGCCCUGAGGCACCUCCCCGGUAGAGGGCCUACCUCCUGAGAAUGCCUUGCUCCGAGCACCGCGGGGGUGAGCUUGGCUCUUGGCCCCUCUCCUGCAGCCCCCGGUGCCCUCCUCCUGAGGGGUAGGAGGCUGCAGCAUUAGGGCAGCCAUCUGCUGCAGCGACCUAUACCUCCUGCGACCCAUGGUUAGCAUAACCUUGCUCCUGGGGAAUUAGCGGUACCCGAUAGUUGCUGCCACCAGCGCGGUUGUCGAGGCUCUCUUGGGGUUCCUGAAAGAGCUAAGCUUCUGGCGCCUCCUCCCCCCAGCCUGGCCCGAGGAACGAGCCAUGGUCUUCUUCUAGUGCGCACUCUUGAUCCACCAUGUGGGGCACAUAAGCUUCUGGGGCCACCGCCCCGAGGGCCUCGUCGUAGUGCCCCGUGCGCCAUGUAGUCCGGCUUGGAGCGCUGUCUUGGGGGUGGUAGCGUGGUGGCCCGCCAAGGCCGAAGGCCGCAGCGCGCACUCCCUCACCUGCGGGAGACGGGGCCGGCGCGACUUGUCGCCCGGCGGCAACGGCCGGGUUGGCGUUGUCGAGGCCCUGCAGUCCGCUCGGAGUUGCGUGGGCACGUAUGGGGCCUCCAUACGGCCCACCCUGGAUCUGGGGUGGCAGCUGGAUGCAAAAAGGAGGUGCUCCCGAGGCGGCGGCGUCCAGGAGCUCGGCCACUCGCUCUAACAACACGUUGCGUCCGCCCUCCAGCAGCCUGCACCGUAGCAGCUCUCGGGCCACCGUGAGCGCGGCCCUUGAGUUCGCCUGCUCCCGUUGGGUGUGCGAUGUUGUGGCCGCGGCAUGGCUUGAGGCUCUUGCUGCUGACCGCACCUGCCGUGGUGUGAGGGCAGGCGGCGCUUGGCCGCGUCGCCCACGCCCCGCGGCGCCCUGGGGAGCGCGAGUUGCCUGAGGCGCAAGGUUGAGGUCGCCCUGGGCCGGCAGCAUGGUGUGGGCGGGCCACGCCGCCCAGUGGUCGGCGUUGGUAGUCGGGUCGCUUGACAUCAGAACGGCGAGGCGAUGGAAUGCGAGGCGGCGGAAGAAGGAUUCCGGCGCACCCCUACCUGGCGCGCCAAAUGUCAGAUUUCGGGUUCCGGCAGACCCUUGAGGUUCGAACUCUGGGGUGCGCACGGAGAUCUUUCCCUUACCAACUCACGUCUCGAAGCCUCGCAAGGGAUCUAGGCUAGAAAGAAGAACACACAAGGGACACGAGGUUUAUACUGGUUCAGGCCACCAUUGUGGUGUAAUACCCUACUCCAGUGUGUGGUGUGGUGGAUUGCCUCAGGGGUUGAUGAACAAUACAAAGGAAGAGCAGCCUCGCGAGAGGUGUUCUUGAGCUGGUGCGAUGAACUGCUUGGGUGAGUUCAGUCGCCUCUCUCUCUCUAGUAUACCCAAAAUCUGGAUGCCUACUCUGUGGUGGCUAGCUCUAUUUAUAGAGGCAGGCCCUGGGCCUCUUCCCAAAUAAUGAGCGGGAAGGGCGCCAACAAUUGGCCAUUUUAAAGGGGAACAUCUAGUACACUUAUCCUGACUAAAGUUGGUCUUCGACUGCCAAAGACUCUGACGAUGACGCCGUCCUGGGCUCCAUGGUGACCUCCAUCCUGCCAUCCCGCUAGUCUUGGUCUUGUUGCACAGAAACAGUAACCUUCGCCUGAUGCCUUGGCAUGUGCUUGCCCCCUUUGCACCAAAGGGAAAACAAGGACACUGCGCAGGCCGGCACCCUCCUGGCGCCCGCUUGGUCUCGAUCGUCAUGGCUUGCAUCACAGGCACCUCGCGAGGUACCCUGCCUUGAUCUCUCCGCCUCCUCGCGAGCCCGCCUGAUGAGGCUGCUCUUGAGGAAGCUUCUUGUCGUCCGCCCCGUGAGGCUUGGCCCCUCGCGAGGGUCUUGAGCUUGAGCUGAUGAAGCUGGGCUGCACUGGGCCUCUGCUUGAGCCACACCGCAGGCUGCAGGCAGGCAAGUCUCGGGACCCCCGUUCCCAGAACGCCGACAGACCCAGUCUGUGUAGUUGCUGCCAUCAUUUUUCAACUUAGCUUUCUCUAGGAACGCAUUAAAAUUCAAUGGAACGGUAGCACGGGCCAUUGAUAUACAACAACAUAGACAUGCAAAAAACUAUCAGGUACUAAGUUUAUGAUAAAUUAAAGUUCAAUUAAUCAUAUUACUUAAGAACUCCCACUUUGAUAGACAUCCAGUUUUGCACACGCAGAAUACUCAGGUUAAACUUGGUGAGCCUAGCAUAUGCAGAUAUGGCCUCAGAAUACUGAGACCGAAAGGUCGAGUGUGAAUCAUAUAGUAGAUAUGAUCAACAUAGUGAUGUUCACCAUUGAAAACUACUCCAUCUCACGUGAUGAUCGGACAUGGUUUAGUUGAUUUGGAUCACGUGAUCACUUAGAUGAUUAGAUGGCUUGCACCCAUUGUAUGUGAACAUAGAGUUUAUCACACCCGAUCAUCACGUGGUGUCUCGGCACGACAAACUGUAGCAAUGGUGCUACUCAGGGAGAACACUUAUACCUUGAAAUUUUACUAAGGGAUCAUCUUAUAAUGCUACCGACGUACUAAGCAAAAUAAGAUGCAUAAAGGAUAAACAUCGCAUGCAAUCAAAAUAUGUGACAUGAUAUGGCCAUCAUCAUCUUGUGCUCAUGAUCUCCAUCACCGAAGCAUCGUCAUGAUCUCCAUCGUCACCGGUGUGACACCUUGAUCUCCAUCGUAGCUUCAUUGUCAUCUCGCCAACUAUUGUUACUACGACUAUCACUGCCGCUUAGUGAUAAAGUAAAACAAUUACAUGGCGAUUGCAUUGCAUAUAAUAAAGCGACAACCAUAUGGCUCCUGCCAGUUGCUGAUAACUUUGUUACAAAACAUGAUCAUCUCAUACAAUAAAUUAUAUCACAUCAUGCCUUGACCAUAUAACAUCACAGCAAGCCCUGCAAAAACAAGUUAGACGUCCUCUACUUUAUUGUUACAAGUUUUACGUGGCUGCUAUGGGCUUCUAGCAAGAACCAUUCUUACCUACGCAUAAAAAACACAAUGAUUUUUCAUCAAGUGUGCUGUUUUAACCUUCAACAAGGACCGGGCAUAGCCACACUCGAUUCAACUAAAGUUGGAGAAAUAGACACUCACCAGCCACCUGUGUGCAAAGCACAUCGGUAGAACCAGUCUCGCGCAAGCGUACGCGUAAUGUCGGUCUGAGCCGCUUCAUCCAAAAAUAUCGCUGAAUCAAAGUAUGACAUGCUGGUAAGCAGUAUGACUAUUAUCGCCCACAACUCGUUGUGUUCUACUCAUGCAUAUAACAUCUACGCAUAAACCUGGCUCGAAUGCCACUGUUGGGGAACGCAGUAAGUUCAAAAAAAAAUCCCACGAUCACGCAACAUCUAUCUCUAGGUGAUGCAUAACAACAAGAGGGGAGAGUGUUGUCUACGUACCCUCGUAGACCGAAAGCGGAAGCGUUAUGAGUACGCGGUUGAUAUAGUCGUACGUGUUCACGAUCCGACCGAUCCUAGCACCGAAGCUACGGCACCUCCGCAAUCUUCACACGUUCAGCUCGAUGAUGUCCCACGAACUCUAGAUCCAGCUGAGGCCGAGGGAGAGUUUCAUCAGCACGACGGCGUGGUGACGGUGAUGAUGAAGUUACCGGCGCAGGGCUUCGCCUAAGCACUACGACGAUAUGACCGAGGUGGAUAUCUGUGGAGGGGGGCACCGAACACGGCUAAACAAUCAACUUGUGUGUUCUAGGGUGCCCCCUGCCCGCGUAUAUAAAGGAGCAAGGGGGGAGGCCGGACGGCCCCUGUAGGCGCGCCCCAAGAGGGGAGUCCUACUAGGACUACUAGUCCUAGUAGGAUUCCACCAAGAGGGGAAGAGGGGGUGAGGGAGUCCCGUAUUAAGGGGUCCUCGGACAGCCAGACUAUAUACUGUGGCCGGACUAUUGGACUAUGAAGAUACAAGAUAGAAGACUCCGUCCCAUGUCCGGAUGAGACUCUCCUUGGUGUGGAAGGCAAGCUUGGCGAUUCGGAUAUGUAGAUUCCUUUCUCUGUAACCGACUUUGUACAAUCCUAGCCCCCCGGUGUCUAUAUAAACCGGAGGGUCUAGACUUCUAGGGUUUAGCCACAACAAUCAUAACCUCAUAGGCUAGACUUCUAGGGUUUAUCCAUUACGAUCUCGUGGUAGAUCAACUCUUGUAAUACUCGUAUUCAUCAAGAUCAAUCAAGCAGGAAGUAGGGUAUUACCUCCAUAGAGAGGGCCCGAACCAGGGUAAACAUUGUGUCCCCCGCCUCUUGUUACCAUUAUCCUUAGAUGCACAGUUCGGGACCCCCUACCCGAGAUCCGUCGGUUUUGACACCGACAUUGGUGCUUUCAUUGAGAGCUCUACUGCGUCGUCAUCAGAAGGCUUGAUGGCUCCAUCAAUCAUCUAUAACAGCGCAGUCCAGGGUGAGAUCUUUCUCCCCGGACAGAUCUUCGUAUUCGGCGGCUUCGCACUGCGGGCCAACUUGUUUGGCCAUCUAGAGCAGAUCGAUAGCUAUGCCCCUGGCCAUCAGGUCAGAUUUGAAAGCCUGAAUUUUGUGGCUGAUAUCUGCGAAGACUUGAUCUUCGACGGAUUCGAGCCCAUGACGGUUGUCCCCGGCCACCACGAUGAACAUGACCUAGAUUUGUCAUCUGGCUGCGCACAGCAGAUAGCGCCUGUGACCGCCCUAGCCCUAGAGCUGGAGCGGACUGCGUCGUCUAAAGAUAGGAAGCUUAACCCCGCCACAGAGGUUGCAGACUCAGCGGCGCUCGAGCCACACACAGACCCAACAUCAGGCUGGGCUUGUGUCACCGGAACCUCGGACUCGCCAUGGGUUCUGGACCGCGUGCAUCCGCGUCCAUCGAGCCUGAUUGGGAGCCGGUCUUGGAGUUCAGCUCCAUGGACAUCUUCCAGCAGUCGCCUUUUGGCGACGUGUUAAACUCAUUAAAAUCCCUCUCCUUGUCAGGGGACUCUCGGCCGAACUAUGUCCAGCUCCAAUGGGAAGCAGACGAUGAAGAACUUCGCUUCCCACCCACCACCCACUUUAUAGCUACUGUCGAUGACUUAACCGACAUGCUUGAUUACGACUUUGAAGACAUCGACGGUAUGGACGACGAUGCCGGAGAGGAGCAGGAACCAUCGCCUACACGGGUUGGACAGCCACCUCCUCUUACGACAUAUACAUGGUGGAUACACCCAAAGAAAACAACGACGACAAUGAAAAUCCAGUCGAGGAUAAACCUCUUGAGAUACAGCCAAAGCGUCAACGUCAGUGAUGCCGCUCUAAGCCACGCCGUAGUAAAAACAGCAACACCGCCACAGAAGAAGACAACACUCUGGACGGUGCCGAAAACAAUGAAGACCUCGUUGAGCCAACCUCCAAACAGGAGGAACGGGAAGAUGGGCAAGUCAGCCCUAGCGAAGAAGCCAUGAAUGAAGACUCGGAGGAUAGCAACUACCUUCCGCUCUCCGAGGACGAGGUGAGCCUCGGCGACAAAGAUUUUAUCAUGCCCGAGGAGCCCGCCGAACAGGAACGCUUUAUGCGUCGGCUAAUUGCCACUCCAAGGAGCCUGAAAAAGAAGCAGCAGCAGCUUCAAGUUGAUCAAGAUCUGCUCAACGAAAGAUGGACUGAUGUCCUGGCAGCCGAGGAAUAUGGCCUCGAGCGCCCAACCAAAAGCUACCCGAAGUGCAAACUGUUACCACAGUUCGAUGACGAGGCUAUGGAGCCCGUCCUGCGAAAGUACAAUGCGGCUGACCGACCACCACGUGGAAGGGACAAAGUGGCACCUCGAGCCGAACACCAGCCCGCACUACCUCGCCGAACAAAUAGAAAUACAACAGCUCGGGGAUAUACACGUGACCUGCGGCAUGACUUGGAAAAUAGGGCAGGUCAGACAAGACCAAUCUAUGGAUCACGGGGGUGUGCCUCGAUGCGCGACGAUGGCCAUCCGGCUGAACGUGACAACAUUAACCACGCCCAGGCCGAAAACUGCAGACGAACUCCAUCCGAGCUACAUCACGACUUGGCCCGAUAUAGAGGCACCGCACACCCCCUUUGCUUCACUGAUGAAGUAAUGGGACACGAUUUCCCAGAAGGGUUUAAACCCGUGAACAUCGAAUCAUAUGAUGGCACAACAGACCCCGCGGUAUGGAUUGAGGAUUUUCAUCUCCAUAUUCACAUGGCCCACGGUGAUGAUAUUCAUGCCAUCAAAUACCUCUCGCUCAAACUCAAGGAACCAGCUAAAUACUGGUUGAACAGUCUGCCCGAAAUCUCCAUUGGCAGCUGGGAGGACUUGGAGGACGCCUUCAUCGACAACUUCCCAGGCACCUAUGUCCGACCUCCAGAUGCCGAUGACCUAAGUCACAUAAUCCAACAGCCCGGAGAGUCAGCCAGGAAAUUCUGGACUAGGUUCUUAACUAAAAAGAACCAAAUCAUCGAUUGUCCGGACACCAAAGCCCUAGCGGCCUUCAAACACAGCAACCGCGACGAAUGGCUGGCCAGACACCUCGGCCAGGAAAAACCGAAGUCCAUAUCGGCCCUUAUGGCACUCAUGACCCGCUUCUGUGCGGGCGAAGAUAGCUGGCUAGCCCGCAGCAAUAACAAUGCAAGCGAACCUGGCACUUCUGAAGCCAGAAACAGCAACGGCAAGCCCCGACGCAACAGACAUAAGCGUCUAAACAAUGGUGACAACACCGAAGACACGGCGGUCAACGCCGGAUUCAAUGGCUCUAUGUCCGGUUAGCGGAAGAAGCCAUACAAAAGAAACAAUCCAGGCUCGUCCAGUUUGGAACGCAUACUAGAUCGACCAUGCCAAAUUCACGGCACUCCUGAUAAACCAGCCAAUCAUACCAAUAGGGAAUGUUGGGUCUUCAAACAGGCCGACAAGUUAAAUGCCGAUAAUAAGGAGAAAGGGUCGCAAAGCAAUGACAAUGACGAGGAGCCCCGACCACCGAACACAGGGGGACAAAAGAAAUCCCCCCCCCCCAAGUCAAAACAGUGAACAUGGUAUACACCACCCAUAUCCCCAAGAGGGAGCGCAACCGUGCACUCAGGGACGUCUACGCGAUGGAGCCAGUCGCCCCAAAGUUCAACCCAUGGUCAUCCUGUCCGAUCACCUUCGAUCACAGGGACCAUCUGACCAGUAUCCGUCAUGGCGGUUCAGCCGCACUGGUUCUCGACCCAAUCAUUGGUGGAUUCCACCUUACGCGAGUCCUCAUGGACGGUGGCAGCAACCUGGACCUCCUUUAUCAGGAUACAGUGCACAAAAUGGGUAUUGAUCCCUCAAGGAUCAAGCCUACCAAAACCACCUUUAAAGGUGUCAUACCAGGUGUAGAGGCCUGCUGUACGGGCUCAAUAACACUAGAAGUGGUCUUCGGAUCCCCGGAUAAUUUCCAAAGCGAAGAUUUGAUCUUCGAUAUCGUCCCCUUCCGCAGUGGCUAUCAUGCACUGCUCGGACAAACCGCAUUCGCUCGAUUCAAUGCGGUGCAGCACUACGCCUACCUCAAGCUCAAGAUGCCUGGACCACGCGGCGUCAUAACGAUCAACGGAAAUACGGAACGCUCCCUCCGUAUUGAGGAACACACCGCGGCCCUUGCAGCAGAAGUAUAGAGCAGCCUUUUUAGGCAGAACCUCAAUUCGGUAAUAAAACUCCCGGACACCGUCAAGCGAGUCCGGACUACACUGCAGCAAGACAGUCCAGCUCGUCCAGAGCUUGACUAGCAAUUCGGCCUCCGUCCCAGUCCUAAUCAAGCGAUGACAUCUGUGCCACGCGUACAUAACUAUGCACUUAAAAUACCAUGGGCAUGGACGGAGGCACAGCUAGACUGUGGUCCAUAAUGCGGCUCAACCGCCCCUGGAUCCGCAUACCUUCACUCUUUCUUUUUCUUUCAGGUUUUUCUCUUCUCGAGGAUUUUCUGAUAACUUGAUCAUCGGACCCAUCAUGAGACGGACACACCAAGAAGGCAAGGAGCUUUGACGUACAAGGGAAUCCUCAGAUGGCCAUCAUACUAUAUCCUUCAAGGACACUGCACAACGAAGACAAAGGCGCAGACGUGCAGCAGGGCCCCGCAUUAAGGUUUCUUUUUUAGAUUAAGACCUUGUGUAAACCUUUUUAUCUCUUUUUGUUUUAUACUUUCCUGGCAUGUAAAAUGUCCAAGAAAGAUAUCGGCAUUAGCUGUAAAUAAACGGUUUGCCGUACUAAAGUGGAUGUUAUAGAAGCAGUUUGGUUCAUAUUGUGUUUUGAGAUUUAUGCUCUCACCACCUGCGCUCUUUCCCCACGUCGGAUUACCAUACGUGCCUUGAUACCAGGGUCUAUCACCAGGGGUUGUAUUCAGCCCGGUGUAUAUUGAAAAGGUCCGGACACCUGUAGGGAGUGUUGGGCGACGCGAGUUUGGCCUUAUAUGCAUCAGCUCCGAAUCAUGUCUUUGGUCAAUAGUUGGGUUGCCCGGAUCUUGUGCUUACUAUCUUACGUUCCGCUAUAUCGGCUAGGAUAGUAAAGGGAGAACUACUACGGUUGUGUCCUGGCUUGUCCGGAUGAGCACCUCAGCAGAGAAAACCGAAAACUCACUGUCAUGAUGCGGCGAGAGCUGGUCAACCACUCGAUGACUCAUCGGAAUCUUUGCGAUUCCCUUCGUGUUAAACGAAGGACCGUCCUUUAGGUCACGUAUGUAAAUGCACCAUAUUCGGAUAACCGCGGACAUACCAGGGGCAGCCCCACCGUCAAACUCCUCUGGCUAAGUGAAAGUGUUAAAGCUCUAUAGUCCAAUUGACUAGUUCGCCGCACUAACACCUCCUUAAUGGACCAAGAUGUUGGGUCAAGUGUGAUCAAGUGCUUUUCCGAACACCCCCACAUUAUACGCGAGGGGGCUGAAGCCGACGACUGCAAACUUUCAGAUGGUAUAUAUAAAAAAGACGGCCGCACAGGAGGCACCAAAACUUUUCGGGCAAAAAGUAUAAAUACAUAGCCUUAAAUAUAUCAUAAUAUUGUUAUUACACUUUCGAUACACUUCACUCGAACGUAAUAUUUUUCGAGCACUGACCCUCUAUCAAGCGGGCACCCUCUAGGACAUCUUCAAAGUAAUGUUCUGGCAUGUUAAGGUCCUUGACUUUGGGUGGACUCUGCGCUGCAAUAUCGGUGGCCUUCAUCUUUACCCAGUACAUCUUGACACGGGCAAGGGCCAUCCGUGCACCUUCUAUGCACGUUGACCGCUUCACGACAUCGAUACGCGGCACCGCAUUAACAAGUUGCCACACCAAACCAAAAUAACUAUUCGGAAUGGGCUCAGUUAGCCACAGCCAGGCUAUGACGUCCUUCAUGGUGGUACAGGACAUCUUGUGGAGAUCGGCCCACUGGGCCAUCCGUUCGCUCAACAUCGGACGCUUUGGCGUAUCAAAUUGCGACCAAAAUAGCUUUUCCGUCGCAUGUCCUUCUUGCGCGUGGAAAAACUGAUUCGCGUUAGCAGCACUCUUUGGCAGGUCCAUAAAGGCGUCUGGAGAACUCCAUAGUUGAUUAAGAGGCGCAUACUUCGGAUCGCCAAACUUAGUUUGCAAUAAAAAGGGCUUACCAGCCGCGAUCUCCCCAGAUUGUCGGAUCUCCUCCCGAGAUGCUCUAGACUCAGACCGGGCUUCCUUCACCUCUUGUAAGGCCUUGUCAAGAUCGGACACUUUGGCUUUGUUAUCUUUCUCAAGAACUUGGCAUCGGCUAGUGGCAUCAUUCAGUUCAAGUGCCAUAGAAGAUAUUCUCUCCUCACACUGACGCCGAGCAAUCUGCUCGGCCUUUAAUCCGGCAGCUACCUUUUUGACAGCCGCAUUACUCAUCCUGGCUUGCUCCUUGGCCCGGGCAAGUUCGGCCCGAAGGGUCUCAACUGCGGCGGCACUAUCUGCAGUUAUGCAUAUACAAAUUUCUAGUAUCACGCUCAUUUCACAAUACUAGCAUGUACUGAGUGCCCCAGAGACAUACCUUGCACCUCGUCGAGCCGCCUGUUAAUAAGCGUGAUGUCAUCAUCCGCUACAUCAACUUUCUGCUUCAGAUGUGCUACCUCUGUAGAUUGGGCAGUUGCCACGGAUGUAAUAGCCUGUGUUUCAAUUAGUUAGAUCAUUUCCUGGGCAUAUAAUUUUCAUCCUAUGAUCGCCUCCCUUCGGAUGUCAACCAGAGUCUCAGGGGCUACUAUCUAUACACAGGUGCAAUUUGCAUUUAUAAUAUGAUUGAAGUUACACUAUGUACCUCGAAGCCUCUUAGUAGGCUCGUAAAGGCUUCAUUCAAUCUGCUUUUUGCGGACCGAACUCUUUCAACCACUGUACCCAUCCAGGUACGAUGUUCCUCUGGGACGGACGCAUGUUGCAACAUGUCCAUCAAUGUAUCCGGCGCCCCGGAUCCGGAACAGGUUGCGUCGUCCCUCGGACAUCAGAUAGUCUGGGACUUUCGUUGUUCCCCGUAGGGGCCGCACACAUCGGAUCAUGGGCGGCCAAUGUAUUACCUUCGGCCCUGGUCUUCACUACCCCUUGCACCACUCGUUGGUCGGGAAGGAUCCUCCGGGACGACACCUAGGCGUCGUCUGCCUUUUCAGGCAGGGAGAUCUGUGGAGGCGUUUCUCUCUCCAUCAUCUCCGGAAGAAGAUCCCCCGAAGAGGAGGACUGUUGAGGAGGGCUGCGCGCCAGACUGCAAACAUGUGUUAAAAUGUUACCCUUACAGCCAGGAAAGAAUGGGAUAUGUUUAAAACACCCUGGUUCACUUAUGAUCCGGCUAGGGGCCUAUGUUAAUGGAGUGACUGUGUGUCAGCAUCAUCCCCUGACUGUGAUAUCUUCCCCCGCUUAGAAGCUUCUCUCUUCAAGUCUUUAGAGGCGGUCCGCUUCUUCCCAUGAGGAGAAGGGAUGUCAGCUUGCUCUUCCCUUCCACUUUUGGAAGUGGAAGUUCCGAUCUCCCCGAACAAAUUCCCUGGUGUGCCUCCAGAAUGAAGGUCGCCUUGGGCCUCCGCCGGCACUUGAUAUGGUGCCGGAACCAGCAUCCUUGUUAACACGGGAUCAACAUAGUCUUCGGGAAGUGGAGCCGAACACCUGAUUCUCUCCGCCUUCUUCAGCCAGCCCUGGCCGAGUAGAGUUUUAUCAAUACAAUGGUAUGAGUAAUCUGACUAAACUGUGUUCGGGAGUUAAGUACUUACCGGAGUAUCCAGAUGAUUGCAGUCAAUACCGAGGUCUUCUGUUGUAUCUGGCCACUGUUUUCGUGCGCCGAAGAAUAAAUUCCACAUCCCUCUGAGCAUUGUGCCGGAGAAGUGUUGAAGGGUCCGUGCACCUUACGGAUUGAACUCCCACAUGCUGAGAGGAUGCCGUUGGUAUGGAAGGAUCCGGCAGAGUAGCAUUACUUGGAUGAUAUUGGUGAGGCCGGUGCCCUUCUUAAUGAGGCUCCAAAUGCGACUUUGUAAUGUCUGCACUUCAUCAACAUAACCCCAGUCCAACCCUUUGUUGACCCACGAUGCAAGCUGUAGCGGAGUGCCAGAUCGAAACGCGGGUGCAGCUACCCUCUUUUUACCAUGGGGUUCGGUAAUGUAAAACCACUCCCAUUGCCAUAGGUCAGAAGAUUCUGCGAAGGAGCCCUUCGGCCAGGGAGAAGUGGUAAGUUUGCUUAUUGAAGCACCUUCGCACUCCGCUUGUUUCCCGUCAAUUACCUUCGGUUUCACGUUAAAGAUCUUAAGCCAUAAGCCGAAGUGUGCGGAAAUACAGAGGAAGGCCUCGCACGUGGUGAUGAACGCCGAGAUGUGGAGGAAGGAGUCUGGGGCUAGAUCAUGGAAAUCUAGUCCAUAAUAAAAUAUGAGCCCUCGAACAAAGGGAUGGAGUGCAAACCCAAGCUCUCAGAGGAAGUGAGAGAUGAACACGGCCAUCUCAUUGGAUCUGGGAGUGGGAAUAACCUACCCUUGAGCAGGAAGCCUAUGGAAGAUUUCCACAGUCAGGUAUCUUGCCUCCCUGAGCUUUGAGAUAUCUUCCUCUAUGACAGAAGAGGCCAUCCAUCAGCCUUGAAAGCUGGGUCCGGACAUGGCUGGAUGCUCGAAGCGACUGGAUUAACACUUGGGUGUUGGAACUUGAGGUGGGAGGUGGAGGAAAGAACUAGCAUGGAAGUAAAAGGAGAGGCCUUAGCCCCUUUAUAAAGGAGACAAAUACCAAACGUCCCUUCCACGGCCUUAAAACAUGCCUAUUACCAAGGAAACAUGCCAAUAGAACAGUUGGGUUACCCACGCUUGUGUUGAUGAAAAUCCCGCAAUAAGGGACACAAUUUCUGCUUUGAUAAGACGUGCCAAUAAAAACCGCCUCUCAAAACAUGGAGUGGCAGGCUAGAAAACGAUUCAAAAUAAUGGCCGGGUGAUGAUGUAAUGUCGUGCUACCAAAAUUGUCAACGGAUUGGAUUUGUGAAAUAUUAUACUCUCUACAGUUGUGUGUGGAACUUGUUUUGCAGAGCCGGACACGAUUCUUAUGUUCAAAAUCUAUGUUGGAGUAUUCAGAGAAGGAGCCCGCCUUGCAAUGCCGAAGACAAUCUGCGCGCUGGACUCAUUGUCAUUGAAGCCUGGUUCAGGGGCUACUGAGGGAGUCCCGGAUUAAGGGGUCCUCGGACAGCUGGACUCUAUAUUGUGGCCGGACUAUUGGACUAUGAAGAUACAAGAUAGAAGACUGCGUCCCGUGUCCGGAUGGGACUCUCCUUGGCGUGGAAGGCAAGCUUGGCGAUUCGGAUAUGUAGAUUCCUUUCUCUGUAACCGACUUUGUACAACCCUACUCCCCCCCCCCCCAGUGUCUAUAUAAACCGGAGGGCCUAGACUUCUAGGGUUUAGCCACAACAAUCAUAACCUCAUAGGCUAGACUUCUAGGGUUUAGCCAUUACGAUCUCGUGGUAGAUCAACUCUUGUAAUACUCGUAUUCAUCAAGAUCAAUCAAGAAGGAAGUAGGGUAUUACCUCCAUAGAGAGGGCCCAAACCUGGGUAAACAUUGUGUCCCCCGCCUCUUGUUACCAUUAGCCUUAGACGCACAGUUCGGGACCCCCUACCCGAGAUCCGAUGGUUUUGACACCUACAGGGGGAAGGAAGGAGAGGGAGAGGGGGAAGGAAAGGGGGGCACCCCCCUCCCCUUCCUUGCCCUAUUCGGACUCAAGGGGAGGGGGCACGCUGCCUACCCUGGCCGGCCCCUCAAUCUCUCCACUAGUGCCUAUCGAGGCCCAUUAGUUCCCCCGGGGGUUCCGAUAACCCUCCGGCACUCCGGUUUUAUCCGGACCUUCUCCCGAACACUUUCGGUGUCCGAAUAUAGUCGUCCAAUAUAUCAAUCUUUAUGUCUCGACCAUUUCGAGACUCCUCGUCAUGUUCGUGAUCACAUCCGGGACUCCGAACAACCUUCAGUACAUCAUAUAACAUAAAAUCAUAAUACCAAUCGCCAUCGAACAUUAAGCGUGUGGACCCUACGGGUUCGAGAACUAUGUAGACAUGAAUGAGACAUGUCUCCGGUCAAUAACCAAUAGCGGGACCUAGAUGCUCAUAUUGCUUGCUACAUAUUCUACGAAGAUCUUUAUCGGUCAAACCGCAUAACAACAUACAUUAUUCCCUUUGUCAUCGGUAUGUUACUUGCCCGAGAUUUGAUCGUCGGUAUCAUCAUACCUAGUUCAAUCUCAUUAUCGGCAAGUCUCUUUACUCGUUCCUUAGUACUUCAUCCUGCAAAUAACUCAUUAGUCACAAUGCUUGCAAGGCUUAUAGUGAUGAGUAUUACCAAGAGGGCCUAGAUAUACCUCUUCGAAACACGGAGUGACAAAUCCUAAUCUUGAUCUAUGCCAACCCAACAAACACCUUCGGAGACACCUGUAGAGCACCUUUACAAUCACCCUUUUUUGUUGUGACGUUUGGUAGCACACAAAGUGUUCCUCCGGUAUUCGGGAGUUGCAUAAUCUCAUAGUCUGAGGAACUCGUAUAAGUUAUGAAGAAAGCGGUAGCAAUGAAACUGACACGAUCAUAAUGCUAAGCUAACAGAUGGGUCAUGUCCAUCACAUCAUUCUCCAAAUGAUGUGAUCCAGUUUAUCAAAUGACAACACAUGUCUAUGGUUAGGAAACAUAACCAUCUUUGAUUAAUGAGCUAGUCAAGUAGAGGCAUACUAGGGACUAUAUGUUAUGUAUUCACACAUGUACUAAGUUUCUGGUUAAUACAAUUCUAGCAUGAAUAAUAAACAUUUAUCCUGAAUUAAGGAAAUAAAUAAUAACUUUCUUAUUGCCUCUAGGGCAUAUUUCCUUCAGAGUGGGUAUCCUAGAUUUUUUGAGGCGAUUAGGCUUUUCUCUCUCCGCAGCACAUUGUCAUGAAGUCUCCUUAGAUCGCCGUGUAUGACCUGUACCCAUGCUUUAGGUAGGAUUGGUUCACCGGUGAUAUGGUAUUUCACCGCACUGGGGAGAGGUAUACGGUCUUGAACCCUAGGCUGAGGAGGCAGCUGGAUCAUAGCAGCAGCUUUAUUGCUACCUUUCCUCACUCUCUUCCGAUGCUUCUUUGGUGGAAGGUCAUCUACAGUAUGUUCAGGCUCCGGAGGCGGCAAUUCAGGAACCGACUCAUGACGCUCAAACCGUGAGUACUCAUACUGCUGAGCCAUCGAUCCUCCAUCAUCAGUGGCGCCAGUAUUGAGAUACUGUUGAGUGUCAUCGUCAUCCUCAUCCUCAUCUAUGGUGACGUCAUCAAUGACUAAUGGAGCCUCUUCCUCACCCAGUUCGCUAUCUCCCAGCACGACAGGCGACGCUAAUUGGGUAGGUGGGGUGAUGAUGUUCAUACCUUGCAGAGGCUGCGUGGUCGUGGGUGUGCUCCCGGUCGCCUCCAGACGAAGAAGACUCUUUGGCCACAGCAGGACCCACGUCUUGCAAUCGCCAAGCCGCCGCGCUGUCUCGCCGUCAUCUCCCCCUAGUACCAGAGGAACCAAAUUCUCGUGGCCCGGUUUGACACUGGCCACGAAAACCCUGAAGACGUCUGGGGCGAUCGGCCGGCUGUGGAACAAUUGUUCCUUCGGAUUCAUUAUCGUCCCCUUCGCCACGUCCACCUUCUGGAUGUUGAUGUCGUACAAUAUGGUGCAUGGGGUGUUGGCCUGCAAAGACAUGUCUGUGAUGUGAGACAUCCGAAAGGUAAUGGAAACAGGAGAUUAUACAUUUAUUGAAGAGGGUCGGUGUGACAGGUACCGUGAGGGCGUCGAGCUCAGCCAAAGACGAAGCAGGUGUGGGAGCUGGUGCAGGUGUAGGUGUAGGUGCUAGUGCAGGUGCUGGUGCAACGCUAGUCGAGCUGUCCCCGAAGAAGUCGGCAAGGGGAAAGUCUGCAGCAUCUUUUUCUGGAUUUCGCCUGCUCCAACAGACGUUAGCCGGAACCAAGAAUAUCAGCUCCCGUUUUACGGCAGCUACCGCUGUUGCGAUUGUCUUAGCUGAAUUCUUCCCAACCGCAAUCUUAACCUUCUUGUCGAUGCUUUCUUCAGUUAACCUCCGUCUUUCCUUUCUCUCCUCCAUGGUCUCACCGUAGUACUUCUUCCACGUGGCGCUAUCUCCAACACCGUGCACACGUCCAUAUGAUGGCCGAGUGUCCACCGGGAGAUGUUUCAAUAUGUUCAACGCCCGGUUGAAUGGGGUGUCCCACUUGGGCCUCGCCAACGCCUUAGACGGCGAGUCACUUUCGGCCGCAAUCCUGUGCUGCUCUCUUUGCAAAAGGAACAAGGGCGUUUUACAAAUAUGACUAAAUGUGCAGUCGAAUUGAUCAGAAACUAAAAUUACCAGCAGUCUCAUGAACUCUGUCGCGACCAAGUCCGUCUCGAAAACCUUCCUGACUGGGUCCCAACGAUACCGGGCCCUGAGGAAGUCAUACUCCUGCGGGACGGUGAACUCGGCCAAGGGGUCUGGGAUGCCCAGACUUUCGCGUUAUGCGUCCUCCUUGGCCCAUAUGGACCUCUUCCCCGUAUAACCACGACUUCCGAGGUGGUGGUGCCCCAUGUUCCUCAGUUGAAGCCCCUUCAUGUACUUUGACCUUUUUUGGCAUCUUCGGCAUUGCAAGCCGCCUUGAAUAGUUCAAACUGCUCUAACGUGAUUGUCGGAUUUUCCUUCACAAUCUUGAAGUAGUGUUCCUUUUUGUCGAUGGCGCGUUUCACCCUUCCUUUCAGGCAGCCAACAUGUUGCUACACUUGGUCAUGGCGCGUUUGUUUAUCCGCUUCAUUGUCGGGUCUUUCUUUGGAUCUUUAUAUUGGAUUUCAUCUGGUGCAGCAGUGUUAGGAUGGAUUUCUUCAUAUUUGUCCUCUUCUUUAGUUUCUCAUCAUUGAUGGUGGCGCACGCCCGUACGAUGCAACCUAUCUGAUUGUCAUAGCAGGAGCCCACUUCCACGGGCAGUUUUGGCUCAAAAUUGUCGUCAUCCACCUCCAUGACCACUAGUCUAGUAGUGAGGAGCUGGUUUAGGCGUCGACAUCUCCUCUUCGAUUUUGGUUCUAUGGCUUUGCCCGUCUCGGCGCCGGUCUCGGUGUCGGGCUCGGUGCCGGGCUUGGUGUCGGUCUCGGUGCCGGUCUGGGUCUCAACGCGAGUCUCAAUGUCAACCUCGGAUGAGAUAGAUGGGCCUAGCAACAACAACCAUUGAUUCUUGGCAAGGCUCACAUAUUCGUGUGCCGCCAGGUAGACGUCAUCGCAGUCACCAGAACCCUGUCCAUCAUCAUUGCUAGCCAUGUUUCCUAUGAUUAAAUCUAGUCAAUUAAUUCUAGACCUAAUAAAAUGAAUAAUGACAUAAAAAAUUCCUAUGUUUUGCAGGAACGUUGAUUCCUUCCCGGUACGGCAAAUCCCGGGCACUCGAUAUGUCCUAGUUUGUAGCACAGGUCAUCCCGAAAUUCAUGGAAAAUUUUGGCAUGACCUUUGCUAAAAAGUGGACAAAUCGAGCACCUGCAAUUUGUCGGAAUGGAAAUGAAUCAACAUUCCGACAAAACAUAGGCCACUCGGCUUCAUUCCCUGGAAACAACAAAAGGCCACUUGGGCUCAAUCGAACCACUUCAAUAAAAAGAUAUAACAUGACCACUUCAAUGAAAAGAUAUAAUCAACAAUAAAAGUCUAGGAAGGGAUCAUCUUUAAAAUAAAACUUGCCUAAAUUCUUUUCCUUGAAAAAUAGUGGUCUUUUCAAAAAUCAAAAACCUUUGCAAGAUGACCUCACUAAACACACACACACACACAUUAUUUUCUCUAACCCUUCUCUACCUAGGAUAGAACACAAUUAAAUUUCAAAGGAACUCCAUUUUUCUAACCCUUCUAACCUAAUGCUCUAAAAUAUAUUUUUGCUCUAACCUAGCUUUUUGCUCUAAUGAACCUAAUUUUUGCUCUAACCUAGCUUUUUAACCUAAUUAGCUUUUUGACCUAAUGUUGUUUAACCUAGUUUACCAAGAUAAUUAACCUAAUUAAACUAGUUAACCUAGCUAGUUCUCUAUCAAAGCCCUAAAUAAUUUUUUGCACUAACAUAGAUAAUUAACCUAAUUAAACUAGUUAACCUAACUAGUUCUCUGUCAAAGCCCUAACUAAAUUUUUGCACUAACCUAGAUAAUUAAACUAAUUAAACUAGUUAACCUAACUAGUUCUCUGUCAAAGCUCUAACUUAAUUUUUGCACUAACCUAGAUAAUUAACCUAAUUAAACUAGUUAACCUAGAUAGCUACUUCUCUGUCCAGUGUUUGUGCUAUGCAUGAGAGAGAGACAGGAGGGGUGCGGGCUUACAGAGGAUGGCUCCGGUGGUGGCGAGGGAGGCAGGGGCAUCUCCGGUGACGGCGAGGGAGCUAGUUGUGGCGAGGGAGGCUCCGGUGGCAUUGGGGACGGCUCCGCUGGCAUCGACGGCGCGUGGCUCUGGUGGCUCCGGGGGCACCGACAUCGGCAGGAGACGGCAGUGAAGUGGGGUGAUGGUGAAUUGGGGAGACGGCGGUGAAGUGGGGCGAGGGAUUUGGGGGAGAAGUGGUGGCCCAGGGGAAACCGUUUUGGGGUUAAGUCAAACUUAGCGGUAGCGCGUUUUGCAAAAUGCGCUAUAGCUAAGAUAGCUAUAGAGAUUUUUACGAAACGCGCUACUGCUAUAGCUAUGUAAUUUCCUUUUAUUUUCUUAUUUCAUUUUCUGCUUCUAUAGCGGGGGUCUAGGAAACGCGCUGCUGCUAUAUUAUCUAUAGCGCCUCUUAUGAACAAACGCUACUGCUAUGCCUUUCUCCUUUUUUUCCUUUUUCAUUUAUUUUUCUUUACAUUUUAUUUUUUUCCUUUCUCCUUUUUCUAUUUCUUUCAUUUUCAUUUACUUUUAUAUUUGUUUUUUAUUUUAUUUUAUUUCCAUUAGUAGUAGCGCUUUUUAUAGAAAACGCGCUGCUACAUAGAUCCUAGCGGUAGCACGCUUUUUACAAGACCGCUACUACUAUGUGUAGCCUAUCGGCUUAGUAAUGGGAAUAUUAGUAGUAGCGCUUUUACAAAGUCACGCGCUACUGCUACAUUUUUAUCUGUAGCGCCCUUUUUGCGCACGCGCUACUGCUAUCUAGCACUAGUGCCCUUUUUUAACGCGCGCUACUGCUAAAGUUCUGUGUAUAAGGUUUUCCCUAGUAGUGGCUGGCCUCCCUUUUCAACAAAUAUUUUGCAUAUUUCACGAGCAAAUAUAUAGUUUCACAAUGAAAUAAAGCAUAGUUUCACAACCAAAGAAAGCAUUGUUUUACAAGCCGAACAAAAAUUAAUUUGUCUCACAUAGUUCUACAAGCCGAAUAAAAAGGGUACAUCUAUUGGUUGCCAACAUGAGCCCACAUAUUCUCAACCAAAUCAUUUUGCAGUUGCAUGUGAGUUUCCCAGUCACGCAUUUCAUGAUGAAAUUGGGUGAACUAUUCAAACGUUGCCACUCCUCCAUGCUCAGGCACAACAUUCUCACCCUGAAACUAAAAUCCUUGAUCGUAGAUACAUUCCAGAUGCUCAUCUUCUAUGAUCAUAUUAUGCAUGAUCACACAAGCAGUCAUCACCUCCCACGGCUUCUUUAUGCUCCAAGUCCUAGCAGGAACCGAACGAUGCCCCAUCGAGAUUGCAAAACACCAAAGGCAUGCUCGACAUCCUUCCUAGCACUCUCUUGCUCUUGGGCAAAUCUUUUCCUCUUCUCUCCGACAGGGUUGGGGAUUGUCUUCACAACAGUGGUCCACUUAGGAUAGAUACCAUCACCUAGGUAGUAUCAUUUGCCGUAGUUGUGGCCAUUGAUGAUAACAUUCACCGACAAGUUGUUGCCUUCGGCAAGCCUUGCAAACACCGGCGAGCAUUGAAGCAUGUUGAUAUCAUUGUGUGAUCCGGCCAUGCCGAAGAAAGAGUGCCAGAUCCAGAGAUCUUGUGAUGCCACAGCCUCAAGUAUGACAGUGCAAGCCAUGACAUGGCCCUUAUACUGCCCUUGCCAAGCAGAAGGGCAGUUCUUCCACUCCUAGUGCAUGCAGUCUAUGCUGCCAAGGAUCCCUAGGAAGCCCCUGCUGGCAUUCAUCGCCAACAAGUGGGUUGUAUCUUGAGGAGUUGGCUUUCUCAAGUACUCAGGGCCAAACACAACAAUCACAACCUUGCAGAACUUGUACAUGAAGUUUAGGCAUGUAGACUCGCUCAUACGGACGUACUCAUCAAUGAGAUCACCGGGCACUCCGUAUGCAGCAUACGGACGGCUGCAGUGCAUUCCUGAUAAGAUGAGAAGCCAAUCUUUCCAAGGGCAUCCCUUUGCACUCGAAAUAGUCAUCAUAUCCGUCCACCCCCUCUCUAAUACGGUUGAAAAGAUGCCUACUCAUACGAAAACAUCGCCGGAAUUUCUGAUGUUUGAACAGUGGGGUGGUUGUGUCAAGGUAGUCCUUCCAAAGAAGGAAAUGGCCGCUCUCUCGGUUGCGAUUCAACACCGGAAGGUCCCCCGGUAUGGAGCCACGGAACAACGGCCGCUGGCUAUUAAGGUGGUGAUGGACCAACACGGUAGCCAAGAUCUCCUCCUCAUCAUCGGACGAGGAAUCGUCGGAGUCGCAAAGGAAAUUGGAAAAAGAACUCGUCGGUGGAUUCCAUCUUAUACCUUGGAAAACUGUCAAACACCUUGCGGGCAUCGAUGAAGGAGCCGGUCGGCGAAGUGAGGCGCGCCUCCCUUGGACCAGGUGGCUGGCCUGGAGGCGUCCGACAAGAGUGUCGGCCUCCGACGAGCGUGCCGGCGUCCGGAUGAAGGAGCUGGUUGGGGCGGCGAGGCGGCUUCCUGGUCGUGGCAGUGUCGGGGAGGUGGGGGUGGGAAGCUUUCAGUGUCCCGGCGGCGAGACGGUGGUGACGGCGACGUGGGAGGAGGCGGAUGUUGGGAAACAUAGCAUGCAAUUUCAAAAAAAUUCCUACGCUCAUGCAAGAUCUAUCUAGGAGAUGCAUAGCAAUGAGAGGCGGAGGGUGUGUCCAUGUACCCUUGUAGACCAAAAGCGGAAGCGUUUGCCGACGCGGUUGAUGUAGUCGAACUUCUUCUCGUUCCGACCGAUCAAGUACGGAACGUACGUCACCUCCGAGUUCUGCACAUGUUCAGCUCGAUGACGUCCCUCGAACUCUUGAUCCAGCAAAGUGUCGAGGAAGUAGAAGAGUUCUGUUAGCACGACAGCGUGGUGACGGUGAUAGUGUCGUUAUUCACGCAAGGUUUUGCCUAAGCACUACGUGAAUAUGACCGGAGGCGUAAACUAUGGAGGGGGGCGCCGCACACGGCUAGGAAUCAAUGUUGUGUGUUCUAGCGGUGCCCCCCCCCCACAUAUAUAUAGGUGGGAGAGGGAGGGGAGUAGGAAGGGCAUCCCAAGUAGGAGGGAUCCUACUUGGGCGCCAUGUCCAAGUCGGCCUCCCCCCUUCCAUAAGUAUCGGAGGGAGAAGGAAAGAGAUGGGGGAGGUUGAAUCAUCCAAUUUCCUUCUCCCUUAUGUCCUUUCCUUCUCCUCCUAUUUUGGCCUAUAUGGGGGUGCACCAGCCCCUUGUGGGCUGGUCUGUCCAUCUCUCGGCCCAAUAAGGCCCAUAUCUUUGUCGGGGGUGCCCGGAACCCCUUUCAAGUGACCCGAUACGUACCAGUACCCCCAGGACACUUCUGGUGUCCGAAUACUAUCAUCCUAUAUAUCAAUCUUUACCUCUCGAUCAUUUCGAGACUCCUCGUCAUGUCCGUGAUCUCAUUCAGGACUCCGAACAACAUUUGGUCACCAAAUCACAUAAUUCAUAUUAUACAAAAUCAUCAUUAAACAUUAAGCGUGCGGACCCACGGGUUUGAGAACUAUGAAGACAUGACCGAGACACUUCUCCAGUCAAUAACCAAUAGCGGAACCUGGUUGCUCAUAUUGGCUCCCACAUAUUCUACGAAGAUCUUUAUCGGUCGAAUCGUUAUGACAACAUAUGUUAUUCCCUUUGUCAUCGGUAUGUUACUUGCCCGAGAUUCGAUCGUUGGUAUCUUCAUACCUAGUUCAAUCUCGUUACCAGCAAGUCUCUUUACUCGUUAUGUAAUGCAUCAUCUUGCAACUAACUUAUUAGUCACUUUGCUUGCAAGGCUUCUUAUGAUGUGCAUUACCGAGAGGGCCCAGAGAUACCUCUCCGAUACUCAGAGUGACAAAUCCUAAUCUCGAUCUAUGCCAACCCAACAAGCACCUUUGGAGAUACCUGUAGAGCAUCUUUAUAAUCACCCAGUUACGUUGUGAUGGUUGAUAGCACACAAGGUACUCCUCCGAUAUCCGGGAGUUGCAUAAUCUCAUAGUCGGAGGAAUAUGUAUUUGACAUGAAGAAAGCAGUAGUAAUAAAACUGCACGAUCAUAAUGCUAAGCUAAUGAAUGGGUCUUGUCCAUCACAUCAUUAUCCUAAUGAUGUGAUCCUGUUUAUCAAAUGACAACGCAUGUCUAUGGUUAGGAAACUUAACCAUCUUUGAUUAAUGAGCUAGUCAAGUACAGGCAUACUAGGAACACGUUGUUUUGUCUAUGUAUACACACAUGUAUCGAGUUUCUGGUUAAUACAAUUCUAGCAUGAAUAAUAAACAUUUAUCAUGAAUAAGGAAAUAUAAAAUAACCAUUUUAUUAUUGCCUCUAUGGCAUAUUUCCUUCAGUCUCCCACUUGCACUAGGGUCAAUAAUCUAGAUUACAUUGUAAUGAUUCCAACACCCAUGGAGUCUUGGUGCUGAUCAUGUUUUUCUCGUGGAAGAGGCUUAGUCAACGGGUCUGCUACAUUCAGAUCCGUAUGAAUUUUGCAAAUUUAUAUGUCUCCCUUCUUGACUAGAUAACGGAUGGAGUUGAAGCGUCUCUUGAUGUUUUUGGUCUUUUGUGAAAUAUGGAUUCCUUCGCCAAGGCAAUUGCUCCAGUAUUGUCACAAAAGAUUUUCAUUGGACCGGUGCACUAGGUAUAACACCUAGAUCGGAUAUGAACUCCUUCAUCCAAACUUCUUCAUUUGCUGCUUCCGAAGCAGCUAUGUACUCCACUUCACACGUAGAUCCCGCCAUGACGCUCUGCUUGGAACUGCACCAACUGACAGCUCCACCAUUCAAUAUAAAUACGUAUCCGGUUUGUGACUUAGAGUCAUCCGGAUCAGUGUCAAAACUAGCAUCGACGUAACCAUUUACCACGAGCUCUUUGUCACCUCCAUAAAUGAGAAACAUAUCCUUAGUCCUUUUCAGGUACUUCAGGAUAUUCUUGACUGUUGUCCAAUGAUCCAUUCCUGGAUUACUUUGGAACCUCCCUUCUAAACUUAUAGCAAGGCACACAUCAGGUCUGGUACACAGCAUAGCAUAUAUGAUAGAACCUAUGGUUGAGGCAUAGGGAAUGACUUUCAUUUUUUAUCUAUCUUCUGCAUUUGUCGGGCAUUGAGUCUAACUCAACUUCACACCUUGUAACACAGGCAAGAACCCUUUUGACUGAUCCAUUUUGAACUUCUUCAAAACUUUAUCAAGGUAUGUGCUUUGUGAAAGUCCUAUUAAGCGUCUUGAUCUAUCUCUAUAGAUCUUGAAGCCCAAUAUAUAAGCAGCUUCUUUGAGGUCUUUCAUUGAAAAACUUUUAUUCAAGUAUUCUCUAUGGGUCACCGAUCAUCGCGCAAAUCCACCAAAGUCCACACUUUGUUCUCAUACAUGGAUCCUAUCUCAGAUUUCAUUGCCUCAAGCCAUUUAUCAGAAUCUGGGCUCAUCAUAGCUUCUUCAUAGUUCGUAGGUUCGUCAUGGUCAAGUAACAUGACUUCCAGAACAGGAUUUCCGUACCACUAUGGUGUGGACCGUGCUCUGGUAGACCUGCGAGGUUCAGUAGUAACUUGAUCUAUAGUUUCAUGAUCACAUCAUUAGCUUCCCCUCUAGUUGGUGUAGGCAUCAUGGGAACGGAUUUCUUGGAUGAGCUACUUUCCGAAUUGAGGGAAGGUUCAAUUACCUCAUCAAGUUCUACUUUCCUCCCACUCACUUCUUUAGAGAGAAACUCCUUCUCUAGAAAGGUUCCAUUCUUGGCAACAAAGAUCUUGCCUUCAGAUUUGUGGUAGAAGGUGUAUCCAAUUGUUUCUUUAGGGUAUCCUAUGAAGACGCACUUCUGUGAUAUGGGUUCGAGCUUAUCAGGCUGAAGCCUUUUGACAUAAGCAUCGCAUCCCAAAACUUUAAAAAACGACAGUUUAGGUUUAUUGCCAAACCACAGUUCAUACGGUGUCGUCUCAACGGAUUUUGACGGUGCCCUGUUUACUGUGAAUGCAGCUGUCUCUAAUGCAUAACCCCAAAAUGAUAGUGGUAAAUCAGUAAGAGACAUCAUAGAUCACACAAUAUCUAAUAAAGUAUGGUUACGACGUUCGGACACACCAUUACGCUGUGGUGUUCCAGGUGGCGUGAGUUGUGAAACUAUUCCACAUUGUUUUAAAUGAAAUCCAAACUAGUAACUCAAAUAUUCACCUCCAUGAUCAGAUCGUAGAAACUUUAUUUUCUUGUUACGAUGAUUCUCCACUUCACUCUGAAAUUCUUUGAACUUUUCAAAUGUUUCAGACUUGUGAUCCAUUAAGUAGGUAUACCCAUAUUUGUUCAAAUCAUCUAUGAAGGUCAGAAAAUAACGAUACCCUCAGCGAGCUUCAACACUCAUGGGACCGCAUACAUCAGUAUGUAUUAUUUCCAAUAAGUCAUUGGCUCGCUCCAUUGUUCCGGAGAACGGAGUUUUAGUCAUCUUGCCCAUGACGCAUGGUUCGCAAGUAUCAAAAGAUUCAUAAUCAAGUGAUUCCAAAAGUCCAUCUGCAUGGAGUUUCUUCAUGCGCUUUACACCAAUAUGACCUAAAUGGCAGUGCCACAAGUAUAUUGCACUAUCAUUAUCAACUUUGCAUCUUUUAGCAUCAAUAUUAUGAAUAUGUGUAUCACCGCAAUCGAGAUUCAACGCAAAUAGAUCACUCUUCAAGGGUGCAUGACCAUAAAAGAUAUUACUCAUAUAAAUAGAACAACCAAUAUUCUCUGAUUUAAAUGAAUAACCAUCUCGCACUAAACAAGAUCUAGAUAUAAUGUUCAUGCUCAACGCUGGCACCAAAUAACAAUUACCAGGUCUAAAACAAAUCCCAAAGGUAGAUGUAGAGGUAGCAUGCCGACUGCGAUCACAUCGACCUUGGAACCAUUCCCGACGCGCAUCGUCACCUCGUCCUUAGCCAGUCUUCGUUAAUCUGUAGUCCCUGUUUCGAGUUACAAAUAUGAGCAACCGAACCGGUGUCAAAUACCUAGGCACUACUACGAGCAUUAGUAAGGUACACAUCAAUAACAUGUAUAUCAAAUAUACCUUUGUUCACUUUGUCAUCCUUUUUGUCUGCCAAAUACUUGGGGCAGUUCCGCUUACAGUAACCAGUGCCUUUGUAGUAGAAGCACUCAGUUUCAAGCUUGGGUCCAGCUUUGGGCUUCUUCCCCGGAGUGGCAACUUGCUGCCAUUCUCCUUGAAGUUCCCCUUCUUUCCUUUGCCCUUUUUCUUGAAACUAGUGAUCUUGUUAACCAUCAACACUUGAUGCUCCUUCUUGAUUUCUACCUGCGGAGCUUUGAGCAUUGCGAAGAGCUCGGGAAUAGUCUUUUCCAUCCCUUUCAUAUUAUAGUUCAUCACGAAGCCUUUAUUGCUUGGUGACAUGAUUCGAGAACUCUGUGAAUGACACAAUCAUCUGGAAGAUUAACUCCCAGCUGAGUCAAGUGAUUAUGAUAUCCAGACAUUCUGAGUAUGUGUUCACCGAUAGAACUGUUCUCCUCCAUCUUGCAGCUAUAGAACUUGUUGGAGACUUCAUAUCUCUCAACUCGGGCAUUUGCUUGAAAUGUAUUAACUUCAACUCCUAGAACAUCUCAUAUGGUCCAUGACGUUCAAAACAUCUUUGAAAUCCCGAUUCUAAGCCGUAAAGCAUGGCACACUUAAUUAUCGAGUAGUCAUCAGAUUGACCUUGCCAGACGUUCAUAAUGUCAGCAUCUGCUCCUGCAGCAGGCCUUUCACCUAGCGGUGCAUCAAGGACAUAAUUCUUAUGUGCAGCAAUGAGGAUAAUCCUCAAGUUAUGGACCCAGUCCGUGUAGUUGCUACCAUCAUCUUUCAACUUAGCUUUCUCUAGGAACACAUUAAAAUUCAAGGGAACGGUAGCACGGGCCAUUGAUCUACAACAUAGAUAUGCAAAAACUAUCAGGACUAAGUUCAUGAUAAAUUAAGUUCAAUUAAUCAUAUUACUUAAGAACUCCCACUUAGAUAGACAUCCCUCAAGUCAUCUAAAUGAUACGUGAUCCAAAUCAACUAAACCAUGUCCGAUCAUCACGUGAGAUGGAGUAGUCAUCAAUGGUGAACAUCUCUCUGUUGAUCAUAUCUACUAUAUGAUUCAAGUUCGACCUUUCGGUCUCCAGUGUUCUGAGGCCAUGUCUGUACAUGCUAGGCUUGUCAAGUUUAACCCGAGUAUUUCGCAUGUGCAAAACUGGCUUGCACACGUUGUAUGUGAACGUAGAGCCUAUCACACCCGAUCAUCAUGUGGUGUCUCAGCAUGAAGAACUUUCACAAUGGUGCAUAUUCGGGGAGAACACUUAUACCUUGAAAUUUAGUUAAGGGGUCAUCUUAUAAUGCUACCGCCGUACUAAGAAAAAUAAGAUGCAUAAAGAUAAACAUCACAUGAAAUCAAAAUAUGUGACAUGAUAUGACCAUCAUCAUCUUGUGCUUUUGAUCUCCAUCUUGAAAGCAACGCCAUGAUCUCCAUCAUCACCGGCUUGACACCUUGAUAUCCAUCGUAGCGUCGUGGUCGUCACGCCAACUAUUGCUUCUACAACUAUCACUACCACUUAGUGAUAAAGUAAAGAAAUUACAUGGCGUUUGCAUUUCAUACAAUAAAGCGACAACCAUAAGGCUCCUGCCAGUUGCCGAUAACUUUUACAAAACAUGAUCAUCUAAUACAACAACGUAUAUCACAUCAUGUCUUGACCAUAUCACAUCACAACAUGCCUUGCAAAAACAAGUUAGACGUCCUCUACUUUGUUGUUGCAAGUUUUACGUGGCUGCUACGGGCUUCUAGCAACAACCGUUCUUAGCUACUGCAUAAAACCACAACGAUGAUUUAUCAAGUUAGCUGUUUUAACCUUCAACAAGGACCGGCCGCAGUCAAAUUCGAUUCAACUAAAGUUGGAGAAACAGACACCCGCGAGUCACCUUUAUGCAAAACUAGUUGCAUGUCUGUCGGUGGAACCAGUCUCAUGAAUGUGGUCAUGUAAGGUUGGUCCGGGCCGCUUCAUUCAACAAUACCACCAAUCAAAAUAAGACAUUGGUGGUAAGCAGUAUGACGAUCACCGCCCACAGCUCUUUGUGUUCUACUCGUGCAUAUCAUCUACGCAUAGACCUGGCUUCGAUGCCAAUGUUGGGGAACGUAGCAUGCAGUUUCAAAAAAAAUCCUACGCUCACACAAGAUCUAUCUAGGAGAUGCAUAGCAACAAAAGCGGAAGCAUUUGCCAAUGCGAUUGAUGUAGUCGAACUUCUUCUCGUUCCGACCGAUCAAGUACCGAACGUACGGCACCUCCGAGUUCUUCACAUGUUCAGCUCGAUGACAUCCCUCAAACUCUUGAUCCAGCAGAGUGUCGAGGAAGUAGAAGAGUUCCGUCAGCACGACAGUGUGGUGACGGUGAUGGUAAAGUUAUUCGCGCAGGGCUUCACCUAAGCACUACAUGAAUAUGACCGGAGGCAUAAACUGUGGAGGGGGGCGCUGCACAUAGCUAGGAAUCAAUGUUGUGUGUUCUAGUGGUGCCCCCCACAUAUAUAUAGGUGGGAGAGGGAGGGGAGCAGAAAGGGGCGCCCCAAGUAGGAGGGUUCCUACUUGGGCGCCUCCUCCAAGUCGGCCUCUCCCCUUCCAUAAAUAUCGGAGGGGGAAGGAAAGAGAGGGGGAGGGAAGGAAGGGGGAAGGCUGAAUCUUCCCCUUUCCUUCUCCCUUCCGUCCUUUCCUUCUCCUCCUAUUUCAGCCUAUAUGGAUGGGGGCGCCCCUUGUGGGCUGGUAUGUCUAUCUCUCGGCCCAAUAAGGCCCAUAUCUUUGCCGGGGUGCCCGGAACCCCUUUCCGGUUACCAGAUACAUACCCGGUACCCCCAGAACACUUUCGGUGUCCGAAUACUAUCGCGCUAUAUAUCAAUCUUUACCUCUCGACCAUUUUGAGACUCCUCGUCAUGUCUGUGAUCUCAUCCGGGACUCCGAACAACGUUCGGUCACCAAAUCACAUAACUCAUAUUAUACAAAAUCGUCAUCGAACGUUAAGCGUGCGGACCCUACGGGUUGCAGAACUAUGUAGACAUGACUGAGACACUUCUCCGGUUAAUAACCAAUAGGGGAACCUGGAUGCUCAUAUUGGCUCCCAUAUAUUCUAUGAAGAUCUUUAUUGGUCGAAUCGUUAUCACAACAUAUGUUAUUCCCUUUGUCAUCGGUAUGUUACUUGCCCGAGAUUCGAUCGUUGGUAUCUUCAUACCUAGUUCAAUCUCAUUACCGGCAAGUAUCUUUACUCGUUCCGUAAUGCAUCAUCCUGCAACUAACUCAUUAGUCACUUUGCUUGCAAGGCUUCUUAUGAUGUGCAUUACCGAGAGGGCCCAUAGAUACCUCUCCAAUACUCGGAGUGACAAAUCCUAAUCUCGAUCUAUGCCAACCCAAAAAAAACCUUCGGAGAUACCUGUAGAGCAUCUUUAUAACCACCCAGUUACGUUGUGUCGUUUGAUAGCACACAAGGUAUUCCUCCGGUAUCCGGGAGUUGCAUAAUCUCAUAGUCGGAGGAAUAUAUAUUUGACAUGAAGAAAGCAGUAGCAAUAAAAUUGAACGACCAUAAUGCUAAGCUAACGAAUGGGUCUUGUCCAUCACAUCAUUCUCCUAAUGAUGUGAUCCCGUUCAUCAAAUGAUAACACAUGUCUAUGGUUAGGAAACUUAAUCAUCUUUGAUUAACAAGCUAGUCAAGUAGUGGCAUACUAGGGACACGGUGUUUUGUCUAUGUAUCCACACAUGUAUCAAGUUUCCGGUUAAUACAAUUCUAGCAUGAAUAAUAAACAUUUAUCAUAAAUAAGGACAACUUUAUUAUUGCCUCUAGGGCACAUUUCCUUCAGUGGCGUUGGGGGGAGAUGUUGCGGCACCGGCUGCUGGAAGAGGCACCGGAAAAAUGGGCGGCAACGGCAUUGAUGAAGGAGGCGGGCGAGGGUUUGUUGUUGGAAUGGAAGAGGAUGGCCAAUGUGCCACCGACUAGCGGUCCGGGGGGAGUAGUCCGUUUUGUGUCCUCGCCGACGCAAUGCUCAAAAUUGGGCCGGGAAUAGGUCGGCAUGCGGACAAAAAGCGGACGCAUGUCCGUUUGGGUCGGCACAUUGGGCUGACUUUUCUGUCCGCGCCGAUCCAAACGGACGUGCGCGGACGAAAUUGAGGGCGCGUUGGAGUUGCUCUUGUUGCCGAACUGCCGAACUGCCGGUGUGCAGUGUGGAGGCCAAAUUUCGUGUUUUGACCCUUUUGCGAAAGUUUAACAGGAUCUGACCCUGGUUCGAAAUAAUUUCAGGAUUUGACUCUUUUACUACAGGCAUAGUCUCUGACGGUAAGGUAACACUGCCUAUCGCCACGGUCUCCGGCGGUAGGAUUUAACUGUGUUAUGACAUCGUCAUAACAUAAAAAAUAUACUACCACCAAGGUCCUUGGCGAUAGACCAUUGUACCCUAUAGGGUCUGGCACUAACUUUUCUUUGAAAAUGAGGUCGCCCGUAGGCAGGGCAUGAUGGUGUUUUGCAAUUAUGUGGCUGCAAAUAUGCAGGCUACCUGUGCUGCCUACUGCAUGCCUAGCUACCCAUGCAUCCCAUCAAUUGUUUAAGUUUGUUGCAUGUCCAAGCUAAAAGCUACUUCCUCCGUCCCAUAAUAAAAAAGCGUUUCUGAUACUAGUGUAGUGUUAAAAAUACUUUUAUAUUAUGAGACGGAGGAAGUACAUAUUAAUAAUAUUGAUGCAUGUGGGUGAAAAAAGAAAGGGGGAGAUGGAUGCGAAUGAAUAUUCGUACUAUGCAGUGUCAAAAACCACUCCUCGCAUGCACUCAUCUCGUAAUAGUGAAAUAGCCUACUGUCAAGUACCAUGGCGGUAGGGUUACACAGCCUACCAUCAACUACUCUGGCGGUAGGAUAUUUUGCACGUUAAAUGACCGUGACGGCGUAGUUAAAUCCUAUCGUCAUUGAUUUUGGUGGUAGGUUGUGUAACCCUACCGUUAAUGACUACGACGGUAGGAAAAGGGUUAGAUUCUGAUUUUUUUCAAAUCAGGGUCAGAUUCAGCUAAACUUUCACAAAAGAAUCCAAACACGAAAUUUGGCCCAGUGUGGAUUGGGAGGAACUACACCGCGCACUCCGCAAGCGCAAGGUACCGGUAGGCAGCAUAUCUGUCGAUCGGCGGCUCUUGGUGAGGGGUAGUAAAUUUCCGUGGGAGCGCCCCGGGGUCGGUGGGUGGUCUCUACUGUACGUCCCGUCCGAUACCCACGCAGAGAGCCUCACAGUCAGUCACAAGACGACGUGUUGUUCGUGGGGCGGCGUCCUGCUGUUCCUCGAUCCCGUCCCGCCGGCCACGGUCACGGUCACGGCGUGCCCCUACCCGAGCAUUAACUUCGGCCCGGCGUACGUGCUGCCUGGGCUACUGUUUCUUGUUUCGUUUUUUGCCUGAAUGCCUGAUCAUUUCGUGAUGCAAGCUUGUCCGUCAGCAGCACACGUGUACGGCACAUCCAUCCGAGAUGAACUAUCAUCCUGUAGUUCAUGAACAAGCAACUGUUUUCCUCUCCUGUGUGCAUGCUAAUCAAGGAUGUAAGCUGGAGCAAGGAACGGUACGAGUAAAUGUAGAGAAUCCAAUGACUUCAUCUAGUUACGACAAACAGAAAAAUGGGGAGGCGACAAGGCUGGCCUACCCCGACCGGCGACCUGAUCGGAUCAUAUCAGACCAGGUCAUCCUGACCCUGGACCCGAGCUGCAUGAUGACCAUAGGCCAUGUUCUUUUCACAUUAAAACUGGGCAAGGUACUGGUACUAUAUGAUAAUCGGUCACUUCCAAUCAAUGAAACAAGAUGAUGCUAGUACCUUCUGGGAUUUGAGACCAUCACGAGCUAGAACAAGCAUCAGCUAAAAUACGUAACGCAAGGGGAAGUAAAAGCGAUCAGAUCGGCGUGUCUUGCAUGCACUGAACCGCAAUGCACGAAUACACGAACAGGUGGAAUUCAUACGAGUACCCAAAGUUCAGAAGGAAAAAAAAACGAACAAUUUCUCGCAAAAAAAAAUAAUAUUAAUCAUGAACAAGGAACCUCAUUGCGUCGACGGAAAUACACCACCCGUUCUAAUUUAUAAUGCAUCCACACAUGUUAAGAUUUAAAACCACCACUUUAAAAAGUGGGGCGUUUUGGAGCUCGGCCUCCAUGGAGGCCGAAAUAUUUGAAAAAUUCAAAAAUUAUUUUUUCUGUUUCAAAUAAAUUCGAAAAUAAAUUGUACAAGUAGAUAAGGAUGUGAUGUGAUGUGUGUGUGUGUAAAUAUUUAUAAUGAAAUAUGUUGAAACGCAACCUUUACAAAAAAGACAAACAGGAUGAAUAAUAUCAUGUGCUAAAGAACCCCAGAUUUUCUUUUUGCACAGCCCUCAUUCAAUGUAUUUCGUCCUAAAAAAUUACAUAUAUGUGUGUUGUGCCUCCAUGUAUAUCUGUAUUUUUUCAGAUUUUUUUGAAACUAAGAAAUAUGAAUUUUGUUGUAUUUUGAAAAUUACAAAUGGAGGCCUCCAUAGAGCGAGCUAGGCCUCCAAAAGCAAUUUUCACUUUAACCAUAAAUAUAGCAUGCAUUAAUUACUCUGAAAUAUGUUAAAUACUGAAACAUGCAAACAACGAGUUAGAAUGGCGUUUCACAGCAGAUAACUAUGAAAGCAAGUUAAAAAGAGAGCCGUGGAAAUCAAACAAAGGUAGUAGCUAAUUAACUAAAGCCUUGUCACUCUAAGUCCUUUUAUUACCAACUUAUCACGCUUACGACCGUUGGUUAGUUUUUGCUCCAGUUUGCCAAGUUUGAGUUACCAAAUAAUUAGAAUGGUUUAUCUUGUUUUCUUACUUCCUCCAAUUCAAAUUAAUUAACGUACAAUUAGUACAACUCUAUUGCGUAAAUUAAUAUGGAUCGAAGGGAGUAGUUUUCUGUUCUCAGUUUUCUUGCAAGCUUUAGGGAUGCAAUUUGUAGCACGUACUUGCGGAGGCACCGACCCAUUUUCUUUUUUUUUGGCUUUCAUUUCACAAUCUUGCAUGUCUUUUGAACCAAAAGUACAAACUACGUUUUGUUUGCAUAUUCGUGUUUUUUAUGACGAGGGCCUUGAAAUAAAACCACCUUUGAAUAUGUUUUGAAAAGUUUUGAAAACUUCAUCAAGUUUGAAAUGCCGAAACUUAAUACGAACGAAUGCCAAAAUCAUCAAGUUUCACAAACUAAAAUUAAAAACUUGGUGUGCCCUCAUGCGGAAUCCACCGGUAUUGUAGAUUGCGAAACAACCAUGCGGCCAGGCACGGCUGGGCAGGUGUGUGCCCCUGCGCCUACAUGCCCCUAUGAAUUUCUCUAAGCAUGUGCUUGUUUUUAAAAAAAAAUCUUGCUGUGGAUGAUAGACGUACCAUCAUCACCAACUGAAUCUUUAUGGUUUUUGGAUUAGGAUAAAUACACUUUUUAAAUAGUCCUAUAAUAUGGGAUUAGUGGGGAGCCGAAAAAUCACUAAGAGCCAAGGAGUGGUUACAUAGCAUGAGCGUGGUUGUUCUACAUCCAGACACACUGCACCACGGUGAACAGUAAAAAAGCAAACAAAAUUAAAAAAUUAUGGAACUUUAUGACUUAGAUUAUGACCAAAUGUUGUAGGUGCUUACAAAAUUUGAUGGCCAAAUGAUAUCCGAGGAGCUCUAUACAUAAAAUAACAAACUUGGUGCUCAAACUUUUAUGCACUAUUGAGCACAUCUUUUGUUUUGUUUAUAUGGAGCUCAUCGGCUGUUAUCCAAAUUUUGCAAGCGCCUACAAAAUUUGGUCAUAAUCGAAGCCACAACGUUUUAGUUUUUUUUUCUGUUCAUCACAGGCGCAGUGUGUCUGGUGUAGCCACAACUUUCCCUACAUAGCAACUGAAAAACAAUAUUGAUUACAUAGCAUCAAAUGUAUGUACCCGGUUUUAAGGAGAUGACAAAUAUUUCAAGGUUCACCACGAUUGACCAGGUACUGUCAUGCAUUGUGAAAUGAUGUACUCUUGUUGUAAAUCAAGACAAAAGUACAUACAAAGUGUACUUACGCCAAGAGAGAAAGUGAUACGUCAAGGUUUGUAUAUUUGUUUGAGGCUCCUCUGGACAAAAUAUACUUAGGAGGAAAACACAGGACUCAAAGCAUAAGGGUAAAUUUGUACUGAUUCAUAAUUGUAGUAUUGCACCAAGCCCAGCAAUAGUCACAUGAUACUGUUCUUUCUACAUUUUUUUGUUGUUGUUGUGUGUGUNNNNNNNNNNNNNNNNNNNNNNNNNNNNNNNNNNNNNNNNNNNNNNNNNNNNNNNNNNNNNNNNNNNNNNNNNNNNNNNNNNNNNNNNNNNNNNNNNNNNNNNNNNNNNNNNNNNNNNNNNNNNNNNNNNNNNNNNNNNNNNNNNNNNNNNNNNNNNNNNNNNNNNNNNNNNNNNNNNNNNNNNNNNNNNNNNNNNNNNNNNNNNNNNNNNNNNNNNNNNNNNNNNNNNNNNNNNNNNNNNNNNNNNNNNNNNNNNNNNNNNNNNNNNNNNNNAUGCAUCUUCUCUCCUCUCUCUAAGCAAGUAAGACAUAAUCUAAAAAAAUGUUGUGUUUUUCCUUGUGCAUCGGUCAGAGGCUUCUUCUCGAGUACUCAACUACUCCCGGUAUCGCUGGUAUCACGGAUAUCUAACAUGUAGUGCAGUUUAAAUACUUGGAAACUUUAUUUUGAAUUUUGAUUCCUGCUUACUUCUGAAAUGCAGUGACCUAAUAUUCAGUAGCAAACAUUUCUGGACUAAAGAGCUUAGGAAUCUAUCAUGAGAAUUAGGGGGUGUUUGUUUUCAGGGACCUUUUGGUGUAGGGACUAGAAAAAGUCCCUAACAAACCAAACAGGGUAGGACUUUUUGCUAAAAGUCCUUAGAAGCACCUCCUUGAGAGUCUUUUUCAAAAAGUCCCAGGGACUAGAAAAAGUCCUAGGACUAGAGAAACAAACACCACCUUACUCCUUCCGAGUUCAGAAAGCACCCAGGGAAAAAAAGUCAAACAUUAAUGAAACCAUGCCAAACAUCCCCCCUGAUUAAACGUAAACAAACCCUCCUCAAAAUUUGGACCUAACUUUGCCUAUGAAUUUGAGUAUUUGACCAAGAAAUUAUGAGUAAUAUGGCACAGGUUACUACCUACCAUUGGGUUCGUAUUUGAAAGAGCAGUUGCAACACUGCUAUAGGUACUUAUUUGCUAAAGAAAAUGCUAUAGGUACGACAUAUUUCCGUCCAACACUCGUACGAUUAGAGAUGAGUCAGUUUUGUGGCCCUUUGUAUGUUGUAUCGGACAAAAAUGGUGGUUUCAUUGCAGUUGUGAGUUGUGUAACAAAUAUAUUUGAGCAUGCCUGCCAAAAUAUACGAAGGCUCUUAGGAAAUUUAUAUAUGCAUCAUUUUGGUGUGUCGACAUCUCUAGCUUGAUUAAAUAGAUGAAAAUUUCGCUCCGAAUAAUCGCAUCACUCUAUGCGAGAACUACUACUCCCUUGGUCCGGGUUUGUAACUCAGCCACGGAUUUUUACGUCUUCAAUUUUUAAGUAACAAGCUUAUAUGCCAUAAAAUAUAUGUUGAGGAACUUCAUUCGACAACGAAUCUAAGAAUAAACAUGUAGACCACAUGCAUAUUUGUACUCCGUAUAUACUUUCUACUCUACUAACCCUAUAUAAUGUAUUUUCCCCAAGAAAAUCCUAUAUAAUGUAAAUAGUAUGAUACACCUACAGCUGUUAAAUGCUCACAUCGGAAGUUGUUGCAAAUCCUACAAAGGAUUGCAUUGGAAAAGAAAGGGGUAGUAGUAGCAUGCAUGUGAAGCUAGACUGACUACCUCAGCUAUUGGCCAACAAGCUAUCAUAACACAGUUGGCGCGCAGCUGCGCGCUACCUAGCUGCUAGUACUAGUACUCAUAGAUGCGGUGCCCAAGAGAUCAUUUGAGGCGGCCAAAGGAUCCUGAUUGACUGGCCUCACAGGCCAGGUCUUUGUCGUGCAUUGUUGAGCUUUAAUGCAUGGUUGUGUACUUGUAUAGACAAUUAGACAUGCACGUAUGAACAGAUCUAUGCUCUCCUUUAAGUAGGUGGUAUAAUGGAGAUAUUUCAUGUUCUUCCUGCUGGUAUAUGCAACCAAAUCAUACAUAAUACCCAAAAAAGAGGAAGAACGAUUGAUGCUAGCCAUCAGUUGCUUGGAUCAAGAAGCAAGCACCAGAAACAAAUUAAGUAUUAAUCGACCCAGAAGUUCCUAUAAGAACAUCGCAAGAAGGAGAUCCACAAAACCAACGAAGAACAUACAAACGCAUAAGAUCUCCGAAGAGUGACCGAAACAAGCAGGGAUAGAUAAACCUGUGGUGUUUGAACGAAUACACAUGAUAAAUAGGGGACAGAUCGAUUGAUAAAAUCAUAGCAUAAUAAAUUAAGGACUGAGAUGUAGCACAUAACAUAACGUGGCAUGACAUACUUUAGCAAUCAGCAGCAGCUCACGUCUUGUCUUGCAUAAGCAGUUAUAGUUCCUGUAAAAAUAACACGGACGUCGAUUCGGACCAAGUCGCUUGAUUCCCCAUGGCCAUGGCGGCGUGGCGUACGAAGAGGAGGCAGCGCAGCUCUGGAGGAAGGAGGAGGGAGGAGUCUAGAAGGAGAUCGGGUGCAUCGAUCUGAUGAUGGUUUCUUGA